AAAUAGAUGCAGGUAAUUAAUCAACAUAAAAGAAUGGUGUAAAACGUGACAUCUCCUCAAUAUACUUAGCCAGUUCCACCAAGAACAGCCUUAAGCUUCUUCACUGUAGCAUCAUCAAGGAAGGUAGUCGCCUCCACCAACGAAGAAGGCAAAUCAUUUGCAAACAAAGCAAAAUCAAGAAUCUGUAAGCCAGGUGUCGCGCUACUGAAGCUCGCAAAUGCAACAGCUGUCACCCCACCAGCAUUAACUUGAAAAUGCAACAGCCCUUGUGGGAACACCAUAAGAUCACCCUUCUGUAAAGUCUUGACAUAAACAGUGUUAGCCGAUGAGAUAAACCCAGCCUUGAUGAACCCUUGGGUCACCAGUAAAAGCUCGGACCCACCUGGGUGGGUGUGCAUUGGGACCACACCACCCGGGGCUAAGUCCAACCGGGCAAUGGAGAUCCCGAGCCCGUUGACUCCGGGCAGCUGGGCAGCGAAUGCUGGAGUGACAGCGGCUUUGAUGAUGUUGGAAAGGUUUCCUGAAGCACGAAGGCCUGUGGAUACAAAGUCAUCAACUGUGACUACUGUGGCUGGUUUGCAGGCAUAUCCAGCGGGGCUUUCUGGGAAUUUUACGUCUGCGACACAGAAGUCUUGGACUGCUGCGUGAGUGGUGAAGGUGAAGAGAGAAAGGAGUAAGAGAAUGUGGAUCAUUUUUACUUUGGAUUUGUGAUGUGGGAUUUGAAUGAAGGAUUGAUGAGUGUUGUGGGAUGUUUAGGUGGUGUUUAUAUACAGGGUGGAUGUGGUUUUGGUGUAAUAUGAAGAGAUAGCCAUGCAAAGGAACUGCAACCAUAGGAUUUGAUCUUCUGAAAAAAGUGGAAAAGAAAGCUGGAGUGGUAGUGACAUCCAUGUUACUAGCUAUAGACGUCGAUACAACAGAUAAGACCUUUUAGGUGAAGAAAGUUAUUACAAAAAGCGAAAAUUGGCUCUGAAUUUCCAAUCAUUGGUAAUUCCUUUUUUUAUAAUCUUUCUAUACUUGUUAAUUUUUUUGGCAUAUUAUUUUCCACUAAUUUUAUUUCACAAAAACAUAUUUUCACAAACUUUUUCAAUGAUAACCGUUUCAAAAAACAAUUCAAAAUUAAUUCCUAUGUUAUAUAAAGACCCUCGUAUAUAUAGUUUGUUGUUUUUAAGUAUGUGUUGCAUUUUCGGAAAAUAACAUUUGACAUUAAGACGGGAGAGAGUGGCUCGCUAAAGGCGCCAAGUCUACUCCGUAAGAUAUGCUAAGAAACUUCCCGGAUAAGGCUCCUUGUUAGCAAGAGAAAAAAGAAAGAGGCAAAGAGAAUAAUGGCUUGUAAUUGAUAUUUUUUCUUUUGUUAUUUUAAAUUAGUUCUUUUGAUUGGUUCUUUUCAUUUGACUUUUUUUUUUUUUCUAAAAUCCAAGUGUAAUAUUUUUUUUAUGAUAAAAGCUUAGAUGGAAGGUAAAUAUGUGAUGUGACAAUGUACUUAGCAUGUGGCAAGUAUGUUACCAUUCCAUAUAGUUUAAUCUUCAAUAUCUUCUCUAGUAAAUAGAAAUAAUUUUGUCGAUUGUCAUCUUCUAAUGCAUUAUGUCACAUGAUUUUUUCUUAUUAUUUUUAUUUUUUUUUCAUAUGUCAUUUUAUGUUUUUUUUUUCAUUUUAUUAAAUGAGAAAUUGUCAGAAAAUACUCAAUAUUUUCGAAAAAAUUUCACUUUAGUCCCAAAUUUUAAUUUUUGAAUAGAAAAGUCUCGAUUAUUUGAUUUUGGCUCAAAUUAACAAAAAAUAUUUUUUUUUCUUUUAACAUUAAAUGACAUAUUAUCGUGUAAAAUCAAAUAAUCGAGACUUUUCUGUUCAAAAAGUAAAAUUUGGGUAUUGAGACUUUUCUGAUAAUUUCCCUUAUUAAAUUCCUCAUAAUAUUAAAUGUAAUAAUAAAUGAUAUAUCAAUUUCAUUAAUGGACUUUUCUUUUAAUUUCAAAAUUACAAAAUUAAAGUCUCAUUAGUUUUCUUUGUUUAUUUAUCUAAAUUCAAACUUUUGAAAUGUUUAGAAUUUCAUAUUUAGAUUUUCUUUUAAAUAAAUUCAUAUAAUACAUAGGUCUCACACCAAAUAAUAUUUGAAAGUUUUGUCAAUUACCUUUUAAUAUAAAUUUCAAUAAUAUUUAUUUAGUUAAAUAAAUUAACUAUAAAAAAAUAUAAAGUUUUAAUAUCGAAUACAGCUAUGGGUGUAAAAUGAAAUGUUAUUAAAUAUAAGGAGAGUUUUGUCAUUUAAAAAUCUCUGAUAAAAAAGCUAUCAAUUUCUUUUCUAAUUAUUAUUAUUAUUAUUUUAUUUAUUUAUUUAUUUAUUUUGGCAAAGAAGAUGAUGUGUAGUGAUCAUGAUCACAUUCAUGUCUAUUUAAAUUGUUUUUUAGGGACCAUGAUCAAAGUGCUUUUUAGCCAACUAGUUAAUGAUAUCCAUGCGAUUCACUCUGUGCGCAUGUCUUAGAGAUAUUUUAGGUGCAUUUCUUUGCUUAACCCUUGAACACGAAGGACGUAAGACUAUGUAACAAUCCUUGAUUAUUUUAUGCAUAUGAAUAUAUACACAUAGUUUGGAGUUUAAUUUCUUCUGAUUGUAUUGGCAAAACUGUAAUUAACUAGUUUUUUUAAAAGACUUUAUAAUGCCAUAGGUUUAAAAAAAAAUUUAUUGUUGGUUCAAGUGGAAAUUUGGUGAUUUAGGUAAUUCGGUUAUCAAAUUAAUAGUUAAAAGGGCUACGAUUGGAAGUGGUAUUUUUUGCGACCAAAGGGGAUAAUGAACGGAUGGCCACAAUCUUCUUCCAUAUUUAUAAGUCUUUGGCCAAAAGUCUCUUGCUAAAGCUAAAAGUUGCAAAAUGAGUGUCUUGAAGGUUAGGUAAUGCGUUAAAUGGUCUUCGGCGAAAAAUAAAUGAUUUUAAUACGAAAUGAGAGUCUAUCAAUUUUGUAAAUAAAAUAAAAGGAUAUUACUUAAUGGAGUAAUAUAUAUUUUUAUUUUGUUCUUAUUUGGUAACAUAAAUUUUUUUAUGCAUUUGAACAUUUAACUUAUUUCUUUUUACGUAUCUAAUUUUUAUAAUCGGGUACUCGGGGCUAAACCAGAAAAAUGACGUAAUAUGAUAAUAUAAUUUUCAGUUUGUAUAAAUUUAUUCUUUAAUAUUUUUGUACAUGUUUAGUCCUUAAGAUCGGUUUCUUCGGUUUUGUUCAUGACAUCCUACGUGGGACAAUCAUUAAUGAUGUGUUUUCAUAUGUGGCCCGUCCCUCACUUAUAUCAGUAACUGUUAAAACGUUGUCGUGUACAUCUUAAACAAAUAAAAAUCACUGUUUGGUUGUACUAAUGGGUAGCUCAGGGAAGCUUGGUCGAAUCCUUAAAGACACAACCUAAAAGCCAAUAUCUCUUUACGUACGACACAAUUAGUCAAAAACAUAAAAAUAUAAAAAGAGUUUUUUGCUGUGAAUUAAUAACUGAAAAUAGCAGUGAAAAUAACUUAAUAAAAUUCAAUAAUAAAAAGUGUUUUAGUUUUUUGUGAUUUUCCUAAUUAUGUAAUCAAUACAAAACUUGGUUAUUUAAUAUAUGUUCUAUCUAGAGUGGUACUGAAAACUACUAACAAGCUCUAGUUAGUUCUCUUUUACCUAGUUAAUUAACUAAAACAAGCUAUUCAAUUAAUCCUAACUUUUUACUAACCUAAUUAAACACACUUUUAAUAAUGUUAGGAAAGCAACAUUAUGAUAUGUGUAAAAUUCUCAGCAAUAUUUAAUACUUCUAACAAACUAUGGUGAUCAUUCAAAGGGAUAGGAUGAUCAUUCUCUGGUUCUUCUCCAAACCAUCCAGCAAUGACUUCGUUCGGAAGAUACGGAUUGCCGUGAGGAUGGAGUCCAGCCAUGUUAUCUACGCGAGAAUUGGGGUAAGAAAAUAAUUAUUAGACGAACUAUCUAGAUAAUUAUUUAGAAAAUCUUCAUUAGUUACAUCACUAUUUGUGAAGUGCAUACCAGUUAUAUGUAAUCGAAACAUGAUAGACCUUCGAAUAAGUGACCUUAACUCCAAAUUCACAAAGAAUAGGGGUAAAACAAAAUUUUCACAUAUUUUAAGUCUAUAACAUCCUAGUUACAUAUAGUCUUAGUGUUUCCACUUAGCAACUAUCAACUUAGUAAUGAAGAUCCCGUUUAGUUCUCAAGUAUGAAGUACUUAUAGUAACACCAAAUACCCCUAUAAUAUUUUUGGUUUAUGUUCUAUUGUUCUCAUUGUGGUAUUGUUGGUAAGAUUUUAGACUUGUUGCAACCACACAACUACACUUAGGCACAUGCUAUUCAGCCCUCGGAUAAUAUAGUUGAUCAGGCUAUAUCUUCCCAGUUUUGACUAUAUGUCUCUAAGUCUACUUGUGCUGCCCAACAAUCGUAAUUCUUUUGUAUUGUCCUAGUGACACUAAUUUUAGAAUGAAUGCAGGCACGUAUACUUAAUUAAAUAUUUUACUAUUUAAAGUAUAAACUCUUGGUCAGAGUAUUUUAAUCCCAUUGUAUUUAUAGUCUGUAUAUCUUUUAUGGGUUGAUAUACUUAAUUCACUAUAAACAAUGCUCUGAUACCAAUCUGUCACACCCCAAAACCAUGAACGGCGGAAACGUUCUGGGGCGGAGGACGUCAUGUACAGUAUCACAACAAUGAAUAGUAGUAAACAAGCAACAACAUCAUCCAUUGCAUUAAUAAUAUAAUUUUAAUACAAGUGUUCUGAUAUGUCUAAUAGACACUAAAGUAUAAAUCAAAAUGAAAGAUGAGUCUUGAACGAGCUCCAUCUUCUCUAAACCUUGCAUCGGUACCUGUCUACUGUUGACCUGAGGAUACAAGUUAUUUUGAAAGAGAGUAUCAGCUUUAAAGCUGGUGAGAUCAUAAGUAUUUUAGUGUCUUAAUUUGUAUGUAAGUAUUUGUACGUAUAUGAAAUGUAAGUAUUUGUAUGUAUAUGAACUGUAAGUAUUUGUAUGUAUAUGAACUGUAAGUAUUUGUAUGUAUAUGAACUGUAAGUAUUUGUAUGUAUAUGAACUGUAAGUAUUUGUAUGUAUAUGAACUGUAAGUAUUUGUAUGUAUAUGAACUGUAAGUAUUUGUAUGUAUAUGAACUGUAAGUAUUUGUAUGUAUAUGAACUGUAAGUAUUUGUAUGUAUAUGAACUGUAAGUAUUUGUAUGUAUAUGAACUGUAAGUAUUUGUAUGUAUAUGAACUGUAAGUAUUUGUAUGUAUAUGAACUGUAAGUAUUUGUAUGUAUAUGAACUGUAAGUAUUUGUAUGUAUAUGAACUGUAAGUAUUUGUAUGUAUAUGAACUGUAAGUAUUUGUAUGUAUAUGAACUGUAAGUAUUUGUAUGUAUAUGAACUGUAAGUAUUUGUAUGUAUAUGAACUGUAAGUAUUUGUAUGUAUAUGAACUGUAAGUAUUUGUAUGUAUAUGAACUGUAAGUAUUUGUAUGUAUAUGAACUGUAAGUAUUUGUAUGUAUAUGAACUGUAAGUAUUUGUAUGUAUAUGAACUGUAAGUAUUUGUAUGUAUAUGAACUGUAAGUAUGAAAACGUUUUGAACAUCCUAGAAAACCAUAUGUUUCCUACUAAAAGUAUCCUUCUACCAAGGCAUCUAGUAUCUGUGUGUGUGUCUCUUGUAAGAGUGUGUAUUUUCCCAAUUCUGACUAUCAUUAACCAAAAAUAUAGCUUCUACAUUGGCGUGCAUCGUGUGAAUGUUCACGAAGUGAAUGUAAUGGGAAAACGAAAUAGUACUAUGGUGUAGUAUCAAAUAACUACAAUCGUACUAACUACCUUAAAUCUAUUGUAAUUUAAAUUAACAUGUGAUUGGCCUGUAUCCUGCUACCGACUCUAGUAAAACGACGAUGUAAGACGCCGUAAGAAAUGACAUUUGGCACUCGUAGACUUGCAAGUCCCACUGUAGCGAGCAGCAAGGUGUAGGAUAGUCAAUCCAGUAUAGAUCUAUACGCAAACUCAUACGCUCCCCAAUUGAGGAGAUUCGGGAUACAAGAGUGGUCAUGGCAGGAAGUGCCAUGACCCGCUCAAUGGUUCACAUAACUGCAUGAAUUUAUAUGCAAUGAAUGUCCUAGCUGAAAGUGUAAUCUUUCCCUGUCUAGCCUGUAUGUACUGAAAUGUUCUCUCUAUCUAGCUGUAAUGUGUGUUCUCUCUAUCUAGCAUGUAUAGUAAUGUACGGUGUGUGCUAGCUGUAAUGUGUGUUCUCUCUAUCUAGCAUGUAUAGUAAUGUACGGUGUGUACUAGCUGUAAUGUGUGUUCUCACUAUCUAGCAUGUAUAGUAAUGUAUUGUAAUGUUCUGCGUGUGCUAGCUGUAAUGUGUGUUCUCUCUAUCUAGCAUGUAUAGUAAUGUACCGUAUAUACUACUCGUACUGACUCAUGAAUGAGCUGACUCAUUGUAUGUUUUAUUGUUCUAGUAAUAGUAUUAGUAUCUUCCUAUGCUACCCAUAUGGUAGCUUACUAGUAAUGUAAGUGGUACGUAUGAACAUGGAAGUAUACCCUUGCUACCCAAGGGCAUUGAACUGACUGGAAGAACCUUUAUGACUAUAUAUGUAUACAUAAUAUAUAACUAAUAUUUAGACGACCUUCGUACGGAUAAUCGAUGCCCUAACGCCACAUCCCAACGAGGAAAAGGAGGUAAAGCGAGCUAACCUUCCUAAGUCCUUUAAACAUUACUUAUGUAACUAUACAUAUCUAGGCAUGCAAUUGACAAUAUAAAAGCAUAAAAGAAAUUUUGUAAAACCAUUGAAAAGUUUAGUAUCUAAGAAAGGAUGACUUGAUGUCAAAUUGUAAAACGAUUUGAAAGCAGUUUGUUUGAUAAGAACAAUGUAAAGUAUAAGGAAAACAUUUGUUUUGAAUCAUGAAUGUAACAGGGUUUGAAAAGAUACACUCAGUAUGCAAGACAGUUUAACAAAUAGUUUUAAUUGAGUAAAAAUGUUUUGGAAAGCCAUUUGAAGUAAAUUGUUUGGUAAAACAGCUAUAAGAGUAGUAAAUCCUUUUGUAUGCUACUUAUUAAUCACUUGUGAUUAAUAUAAUAACUAGCAUGAUUCAACUUGUAUCCCCCGCCCAUAAAGCAUUUUAAAACAUUUAAAUCAUUGAUUAAGGGGUAUGAACUCACCUGUAGCAAGUGGUUGGGAUGAACUGACUGAAAUAGGAUGAUAGGUGUCAAGUGAAGACUUGUACACCCUCUAUGAUCCUAGAUAACAUAUAAUAUCACAUAUAUGUAACCAAUUAGCCUUUAAACAACUAAUAAACAAAGCUAAGACACCCUAGGACAUGCUAAACACUUUAUAUAAAUGUUAUAGGUCCUAAGGAUUGCAUCUAAGUGUUGUAGGGAAAGGCUAGUGUGUUUGGGGUUCAAGGAAAACUCCAUUUGGGAGUUUACGGUUUUGUGGUCACUAACAAAAGGGUUUACGGUCGUAAGCCCACACACUUGUUGACCAUUUGAUGUUUGAAGCCUUAAGAGUCCCUAGAAGCUUUUCUACUUGAUGUAUGUGACCAUGGAAGUUACUAGGGCACCAUUUCACUCCUAAAUGGAGUUUACGGUCCCUAAACCAUUUUCCUUUGGGUUUAAUACCGUAAACCCAUAAGGUUUAUGGUAUUUGGGGGUUUUCAAGUCCUUAGCUCAUCAAGGUAAUUGUCUAGGUUAGAUUCUAGGCAUAAGGAAUAAAUAUGGGACAUUUAUACACUCUUUGGGGUGUUUACAGUUUUGGGAGAUCCCCAAAUCAUAAACACAUAUAAAUGAGUGCUUUUUGUGCUUUUUUUGUGAUAAACUCAUCAAGGAAGGAUCUAGACAAGUCCCUAAGGCAUUGUGAAGCACCUAGGCACCCUUUUGCACCAUAACUUGGUGUUUACGGUUCAAGAACUUCUUGAACCGUGAACACCUUGUUCUUGGUGUUCUAGGGACAUUUCCUUGAUAUUAAAAUGUAUAGCAAGCUUUAAAAGACUCUAGGAUAGAAGUACUUACUAUGUGGAAGCUUGAAAGGAGCUAAAAGUCCAAGAACACUAGUGUGUGUUCUUGGUGUUCUUGGUGAAAAUGAAAAAUCAAUCUUUUGGAAUGAUUUCACGAUUAGAAAUGUGUUAAAACACUAGAUUAAGUCAUUUAAUAACUUAAGAAGGCUAGAAACACUUACUAGAUUGAAGACCUUGAAAACUUUUGGAUGAUACUUGAGAGAGAAAAGGGUUUGGAUCUUGAGAUUUUUGGAAAAAGUGUAAAUAAUGACUAACACUCAUAUAUAUACUCCCAAAUUUAGGGUUUUGGCAGAAAAUAUUUUAUUCGGGCAGUAAACUCUAAUUUCUUAGAGUUUUGGAAUAACAGUGUUGCACAAUAAUCCUAGGGCAUCCUCUCUCCAGAUAUCACCUGAAGUGUAAAUCCUAAAAUACUCAAACUUGUUCCGAAAAGUUUGAAAUUUAGCAGCAACUUUUCUGGUUUCUAUUGCAUUGAAGGGUUGCAAAGAAUAGAAAUUUCGGGUUGUCACACAUAAACACCACCAUGCAUCAAUAUAUUACAACUGGAAUUGUUCACAUCAAGUACAUUGUUUAAACAUUACAUAUCCAUACAUAAAUUGUUUGAUAGAUAUCAUAAGCAAAACACCCUAACAUACUUGGUACUUAUUCCUUGACUUACCUGUUACCUGAGAAUACAAGUUAUUUUGAAAAAAGGUCAACAUAUGAAAUGUUGGUGAGUUCAUAAGUAUGUUGUAUUAAAAUGAUUUGCAUAAUUUGUAAAACCCAGCAAAUCCGAUAUUUUCUGAAAAGACCAUUGUUUAAAAAAAAGGUGUGAAGAUCCAUACCAUAUGCAUGAUGAUUUCAAAACAUGUACAAUUGAAGAACUUUAGUAUUUAUCGUACAAGUGAAAAUGUUGAACUUCCUCGGGAAACCCAAUGUUUUCCAAAUACAUAAAAUACAGUGAUUUCUCAAAUUGUUAUACCGCCACAAUGAAUGAGUUUGAUUACUCGGGUGGUGUUGGAUUAAUUAAGGUUUGUGAGUUGUUAUAAUAAUGCAUUAGUAAUGACUAGUUUAUAACUACAGUUUACGAACGAUCCUUAGAGGCGUCGUCCGUUAUAACUCACUUAAUCCAACCACCUUGAUUACUCUCGAUUAUCGCCCUGAAUCUGUUUACGUUGAUUACUCAUAAGCCUAGCAAACGAGGAAAAGAGGAGUAUAAGUCCUGCUACUUCCGUGAGUUUACUUUAGGCCGUCGGGGAUGCGAAAGACUCGUUGGUCCAUCUCGCAUUUGAUUACUUUGACCUUACUGGCAAUACUAUUGGAUCACUAGGGCCCAAAAGCACUUGAGAGCCAUUGAAGGUCCCUUUAUAUGGAAUUGGGCCAUAGAAGGCCCAAUAACAUAUAAACAUUAUCCCUUGGGCCCAAAGAUCAUGUUAAUGGACUUGCAAGGUCCAACAAGCAUGAUUUGAAACUUUCAAGCCCAAGUGUCGAAUGUUUACUUGUCUUAGGUAUCGCUUAUCUAUUGGAGGGUUCGAUUUAACGGUUGUUGUUUUUGUAUCGAUUCAAGACCAAUCGAUUUGUUUAUAACGAUAUUUGGAGUUAAACGUGUAUUCGUCUUUUAAUUUUUCAUAAGUAAUGGUUUUGUAUUUGACUUAAUGAAAUAAUUUGCUUAAAACAGUGGUUUGACCUUUUCAACACCUUCCUUUUUAUAAAAAUGACAGUUUUAGUCCUUUAUAUAAAAGAAAAGACAUUUUUAGCCCUUAAAAUAUUUUCUUGACACUUUUGCAUCAUAGAUUUGUUGAAAUGAUAGUUUUAACUCAAAACUUAUUUUUUUUAACAGUUUCACCCCUUUCAGAAUAGUAUUUUUCGAUUUAAUACCCAACUUUCCACAAUUUUUACAGUUUUGGCCCAAAAUCCAAAAACUUUACAUUUUUUUUUAUCCUUUUUGGAAAUGAAAAGCAUUUUUGACCCUUGAAAUAGUUUUGUUACACUUUUUAUCCCUUGAUUUGAAGAAAGUUUCAUUUCAGCCCCUUUAAUUGUCAUUUUUCGCAAUUUUGGGCUUAUUGGGCCGAAAAGCCCAAAAUUAGCCCAUUAAGCUAAAAAUUUACAUUUCAAGUCCUUUGAAAAUUUUAAUAUUCAGAAAAACAAUUAUUAAAACUGUUUUGACUCUUUUGACCCUUAAGAAACCGUGAUUUGGCAACUUUUAACCCAAAUUUUUGUAUAUUUGACAAUUUAAGCCCAAAAAUGGGUUUUAUGUUGAAGUAUGUUUAACACAAUCUUAUAAGUUAUUAUUCUUGACUUUUUUGGUGUAAAAUAACUUAGAUCAUGUUUGUUUACUUUCUCAUGUCAUAGAUCUCGAGUUAACACCCCUUUUUAGUUACAUGUUCAUCACAAAAACACAUAAAAUCAUACAUACAUGCAUAAAAUCACACAUAGCAUACACAUACACAUAGAUCUACACAUUUUCUUGUAUUCUCCCCCAUAAAACAUAUGAAAAUCGAAAAGAUAGGGGUAUGAAGCUCACCUUAAGUUGUGGUUUCGGUUUUUGAAGGAAGAGAUGAAGAAAGUUUCGAUCCUAGCAAGUCUUCUUGGAGGAUCUCGAACUUAGAUGUUUAUAAGAGGGUGAUCAUGAGUUUGAAUAGAUUAGGAAGAGAUUUUUGAUAAGCAAAAGAAUCAAGAUCAUAUAUCCAAGAAAUAACUUACCUUAGAUGAUGAAUUUGUGGAAUAAUCUCCUUGGAAAGCUUCCUAAAUCUCGAAAAUUUGGUGAAGAGUGAACAGAGUUUCUUUGAGAGUGUUUGAGUAAAACGUGUGUGUGUGUGUUUGUGUUGGUUUCGGCCAAGAGAAAAAGAGAGAGGAGGGAAGAGAUACUUUUGAGUUGACAUGCAUGAAAACAUGAGAUUUUUGCAUGGGGUUCCAAUGGUUAAAUGUGAGGUGGCAACUUAAAGUCAACUCCUUCUCUUUUGGGUUGUUGGGCCGAGAAAAAAAGAGGGGAAAGAAGGAUUUGGGCCCUUAAAUGCUCAAGCCCAAAUUGUAAACUCAUUAGGUGAUUUUUGGUCCAAUUAAAUCAAAGGAUGAUUUUUAUGAUCCAUUAGGGCUAAUUAGAUUUGUUAUGGCCCAAUAAGGCCCAUUUAAGAUAAACUAGUUCAUUUUAGGCUUGUAAGGCCCAAAAUAUUAAGUUUCAUGUAUAGGGGUCCAAUUAGAGCCCAUUUAAGAGUUCUAAAACCCAAAAAAAUCAAAUUGGAAACUUAUUGGUCAAUUAGGCCCAAUAAGGAAAUCCUAGUCCAAAAUGGACUUAAAUCGGGAUUCUUAGGGUUUCCAACGUUUUGUUGACUAUUUUAUGCGCUCUUAUAAAGUGUCUGAUGGAAGUUUUGUUGUUAUUAAAUAAGCAUCAUACAUGCUUUCACAUUGUUGGUUCACAUUUGUUAUCAUUGUUCAAUGUUUACAAGGCACCAAAUUCCUAGCUGUGACAACUUAGGAAGCAUGACCCGUGUUUGGAGAUGGGUGGAAUCCAUGUGUAGUUAAAUGAAGUACAUUACCCAAAAGGACGUUUUUUAGAGUCACAGGCAUGAAGCACGGAGUGUGCUCGGGCUUCCAGGUCGUGCUCUUCAGGCGCAAAGUAAUAAUCCUAGAAAUCUUGUAAAAUCAGAAAUAAAAUGUCACCGGGGAGUAAGCAGGGCUCGUGCUUGGGCUAUGAAACUUUAAAUAUCAAAAAUAAUGCACUGGUUGGGAUCAGGAAGCAGGCACGGACCGUGCUUGGGAAGCAUGACCCGUGAUUCAGGACCAAAGUUUUAAAAGGCCUAAAAAUCAGAAAUCUUUUGGUUAUGUUCUGUAAGUGGAGAACAGCCCAUGUUUGGUAAGGCAUGGCCCGAUCUUGGUAUUUUUUUUAGAGUUUUGAAUCCAUAUAUGCUCGAAAUAUGCAUCCAAGUUGCUUCCAAAUCACUGUUCCACUCGAAAUAUCUAAAAAUGACAUAAAAAUAUGAGCGGUACGAGAAUUUUCUAGCGAAAAACAUGAGUUGAAAUUUAUUUAAACUAACAAACAUGAAAAAGCAUAAAAUAUGAUGCAAAACACUAAUAAAAACUAAUAUAAAAGAUGCAUAAAAUGGCAUCUAACAAUAACUUAAUUCACAAAUUGGUCAAAUAAUGUUGGUGCCCUAGUUUUCUCCAAGUAGAAGAUGUUUUCAGCUUCAGGUGCAUCUAUCUCUAUAUCAUACAACAAGGUUCUUUGUUAUUGUUUCUUCCCAACUCGAAGAUAUUUUCUCCAAGUAGAAGAUGUUUUUAGCUUCGGUUGCAUGAAAGACUCUAAACUUUUUUCCAGGUUGUUCUUUUGUCAUGGAAGUGCAAAAUCGAGUUGGGAUGAAGUAAACACAAAGAAUCUUGUUGUCUACAAUGGAGAUAGAUGAAACCAAAUUUGAAUACAUAUUCUGUUUGGAGAAAACUAGGAAACUAACAAUAUUUGACUAAUUCAGGAAUUAGGUUACUGAUAUAAGUGAGUGAUAAGCCACGUAUGAGAACACCUCCUUAAUGAUUCCCCAUCAUAGGAUGACAUGAGCAAAACCUGAAGAAAUAGGUUAUUGAUACAUGAAGUGACCCUCGACAGCUAAGAUUAUUUUGGGGGUUUUCAAAGUUCUUUUGGAGUAAUGAUGCGAAGAGUUUUUGGAUGGGUGACGAGAUGAAAUUCGCUUUUGAGUUAUUGCAAAGAAUUGAUACACUAAAGAUGAUAUGCAAAGACUAGAGUUAAGGAGCUUAUCCAAAGAGUUGAAGUACAGUGUUUGAUGAUGUUUUUCUAAGGUACAGUGUUUGAUGAUGUUUUUCAAUCAAUACACAAUCAAUACAAAAAUAUUUUAUUUAGAUUGUUGUUUGUUCUCUAUAUCUUUUGUAUUACACAAUCAAUACAAAAAUAUUUUCUGUAGAUUGUUGUUUGUUUGUUUUUUUGGUUUUCUAGUUAUUUAAAUCUUAGGUUUUUUAUGUAAAUUUUAUUUUAAUUAAUAUAGUGGUUUUUAUUUUUAAUUAAUUUUAUGUUUAUUACUCAUCUAAAAAAAUUAUAAAUCAUAAAAAUCAAUUAUUUUUAUUAAAAAAAAAAUGAAGGAAGCUUCCCACACACACUUUGACUUUUGGUGAAGAAAAAAAAAGUAAAAGAAAUGAUGACGUCGCAGACAAAAGAUGAGGGAAACUUCCCGUACCACCUCUAGACUUAUAAGAAAAGGAGGAAGCAAAAUAUGAUGCCUACCACCCUAAAUUUUCUGAUUUUACAAAUGAUAAGGAAAAAAAACUAACAUCUUAAUGCGUUUUGUGGUCCAUGAGAGCACAUGGUAACGGAAUUAAGAAAUGCACAAAACAACAUAGCGAGACAGCUAUCCGAUUCUAGUAUUCUUAUUUUGUCCAUUUCCUCAAACGUUGAAUUACAAUUUACAAACCAUUCUCUAUAAAUAAUGUAUGGCAAUAACUAGUUCUCCUUUGGGUAAGGUGCAUUCUGAUUGGCUAAAGCAAAAUAUAAAUGUGGCCCAUUUUAUCAUUUUCCACAAGGGGCUUUAUUGAUUAUAUUUUAAAGAUUCCUAGGUUUUUAUAAUUGUGAAUUUACAGAGCAUAUACACAAAAAACCACAUUUGGAUAUUGAUGUUUGGGACCUCGGAGUUUUCAAAUAUAAAAUGGGUACAAAUUACAUCGUUAUUCUUCAUAGUGGUGAUUCUUUGUUUGUAAGUUUGUGGUAUCAAAAGCUCGAGUACACAUGAUUUUAGAUUUCUCAUAAAAAAAUUAUUCUUUAUUAACUGAGUUUAAAAAUGCAUCUAAUGUCAUAUAAAUACUUCUUUAAUAAAAAAAUUUGAGUUGAAGAAAAGUUUAAAAUUUAUUCACAUAUGAAUUUACCAAAUAAGACCAUAACUGUGACACCCAAUUGAAUUAAAUAGGAUUAAACAUGAAUUUAUGUGUAACGAGUACAAGUGAACAUAACACAUAGUAUAGGGCCUGUAAUGUAAAUAAUGGGGAGUUUUUGUGUUUGGCCAAGGGUAAACCGUUACUCAAGCUUUUGAGUUAUGUUUCCUUUACCGAUUAGGACUUGAUUUGAAGAUUGUUCCUUAAAUUGAUUCAUAUAAUAAAUCGAUAUUUAUAAAUCAAUCAAGUUUAUCCCAAAAGCAAUUUGCAUAAUAAUGUUAGAUAAUUAUGGGACCACAUCAUAUAUAUGUAACUAGUUUAUAAUCCGUGGGAACCACGGUUAGAAAAUUAAUUAAACUUUCUAAGUAAAAAUUUAAAAUUAUGAAUUAAUAAUUUUAAAUAACUUAUUAAUUAAAAGAUAUUUUUUUAGUUAUAUAUAUAUAUAUANUAUAUAUAAUCGUUGAUUCAAAUAAAUACGUAAAAUAUAUCAUAUUAUAAUUUGUAUAAAUUUUAUUUAUUUUUAUUCUAAUAUUAUUAAUUUAAUGUAAUUAAAAUGUGAUUUAAAUUUUGAAAUUUGAAAUUUGAAAUGGAGAAUUAAUAGAUUGAUAAAUGCCAUGAUAUUAAUUACAAGUGCCAAUAGAUUGACAAGUGUCAUAAUAUUUAUUACAAUGGCUAACAUGGUGACACAUGGCAAAAGAACUACUCUUUUAUUAGUAUAGGGAGAAGGGAGAUGUUAUCAUUAAAUCAAGUUAUUAUUAUAAGACUAUAAAUUGUUGAUGGACCGAUUUAUAGAUAUUUAUUUACCUUGUGAGUUAAGUUCCCGAUUUGACUUAAAAUCCUCAAGAUCCAUUCCAUCUCUCACAUUAUGGUUUAUCUCCAUCUAUAAAUAUAUGUGAUGAGGAGCAGAUCGACACACACGAAAAUACACAUGAAAAUUCGUUUAAGGUUUGAUGAGGGAUUUUAGAAAGAACUCUUGUGAUCAACUGGAAAACUCAACCUAGUUUUUCAAAUUCGAAGAUUAUAAUGAAAUCAGGUAUCUAAUCGUUCUUUCUUGAUUAAGCUUUCUUGUAAUCAAAUUCGAGCUUAAGAUCCUUAUGCUUCCGCGUUUAUGUUUUAGUUAUCAAAACAUCCAACAAUUGGUAUCAGAGCCUACUCGAAUCUAAUAUCAGAAAUUUAAGUUUAGGUUGAUUAAGAUAUGUGUGAAUAUUUUAAAUUAAGCAUAUCCGUGUAAAUUGAUCUUCAACAAGAGAAACGGGUUAUGUCAACCGUAUAUUUUCUUUGUUUGGGUUUUAUUUAUUAAAAAAAUGCUUAUCACAUUUUUGCAAACCCUCAUGAUUUUUGUCGCUUUCAAUAAUUAAUAGUAUGGCUUCAUUCCUUUUAUUUUAGGAAUUAAAUAUGGAUAUAAUAAGUCAUAUAAGUUCCAUUUAAAUUGUGUAAAGUCUGUCUUUUCUGACAUCAUUUAUUAAUUUCUUUAUAAGAAUUUAAUAAAAUAGUCGUAUCUUUUAUUUUGUAUUUAAAAGUUGUGUUUGUAUAUUUGUCGGUUUAUUUUUUUAAGCUAUAAUGACACUGUAUGUACAAGUAUAAUUAUUUUAUUUAGUUGUGAAAUUUGAAUAAGGUAUGAAAUCCAUUUUUUUUAUCAUUUUAUGUAUCAAGAGGAUUUCAUAAUGAUCAAUUUUUAGCAAAUACAAUUAUAUGGGAAUAUUAUUAUGAUAGAUUUUGAUUUGAUUUUAUUGUUGUUGUCUUUUCCGAACAUAGUUGACAUCAUUAUCUUCAUAAUCUAAUUGGCCUAAAAUAUUGUGGGGCAUUUAAGGAAAUUAUUAGAUAACAUCUUUUGUUAUAUAUCAAUUUGACACCAUUUCAUGUAUGGUUGUCUUUUAUUUAUGGUUAUCAAUAAAUUCGGUUAUGCUAUUAUUUAUUUUCUUGGAAAAUUUAGUGACAUUAUAUAUCGCCAAAGUGAUCCCUUUUUUGUAAAUAUUAAUUUUCUAAGAAUCUAAAUAUUAUGGUUUAUAUGUUUAUUAAUGCGAAUAUUAAUCGAUCCAAAUGUAGGUUAAUAUUUGGCCGGAUAAAUACAUGUUCAAUGAUAAAUAUGCGACAAUUUUUAGGUUACAUGUCAUUAAUAAGUCAAUCCAAAGAGGGCUUAUUAAUUGAUAUGAUAUAUUGUCAAUUCUUAUUAUCAAAAUUUAUAGUUUAUGUGUUUAUUAAUGCGGGUAUUAGCCGACCCAAAGGUAGACUGCUAUUUGGCCGAAUAAACAUAUAUGUGGUGAUAAAAAUGCGGUGAUUUGUUUUUUUGGUUCCAUAUGAUUAAUAAGUCAAUCCAAAGAGGGGCUUGUUAAUUGACAUGAUUUAUUGUCAAUGUUUAUCUCUAAAACAAGGAUAUAUCUUGCAAGUUAGUAUUACUUAUUAAUGUUGUGUUGAUACCUUGUAAAGAUGUCAUAAAUUGAAUUUAUUGAUUACAAUUUAUGGAUUAAUAAGCAUAAAAAUAGAUUUGUUUAUGUUUGAAUAAUGGUAUUAUAUCUGCUAACAUUGAUCACAUUUAUGAUUUAUGUACUCAAUGAAAUUAAUUUUAAAGAAUAGAAUAAGGGCAUUAUGUUAGUUCUCAAUUGCAUGGAUAUUGACUUUAUAUUUUGGAUAGAGCAACAAUCUUUGAGGAUGUUGAGUUUGGGGGAGAAACAAGGUUAAAACAUUGUCCUUAAGGAGGAAUCAAUCUUGAUUCCUAUUAUUGCUUUUGAUAGUAUGCAGAUUAUGAAUCAGUAAUCGAUAAUGUUAUUCGAUCUCCUAUUCAAAAUACACAAACUCAUCAGCCUCAAAUUUGGAUAUCCUAUGUGUGGUACCACAUUUUUCAUCAACUUAUUAUCUCUUUUGGUUUUGAGGUAAAUACAAUAGUUGAUUUUGUGUAUCACAGAUUAAGUAAAAGUAAAUUUAUCUUUCUGGUUUUGGGCAGCUAUCUACGAAAUUCAAGUUUAGAUCAUAAGAAAGCAACCAAAUGGAUUUUGAGAUAUCUAUAUAUAACAAAAGGCUAUGUGAUCAACUAUAGGAAAUUCAGAUGUUUUGGAGAUCAUUUUUAUUAAGGAAGUGAUUUUAUUAGAUGCCAAAAUAGUUAUUGAUCCAUAUCAGGAUACUUUUACAUAUUAGCAUGAUGCGUCAUUUCAUGGAAUAGACUUCGGUAACUUUUUCCAUAAUGGCAGAAUAAUUUGUAGCAUGGAAUAUGGUUGUGGAAAUUUGUUACGAGGCUAAACAUUAUUGGUAUUAAAAGACUACUAAAGUUUUGAUAAUAAGUCAACAAUGUUAUAUUCCAACAACAGAAGUUCUAUUAAGUCAAAUCAUAUUGACAUAAAGUUUUCUUUUGUUCAUACAAUAGUGCAAAAUGGAAAUAUAUAUAGCACAUAUGAACAAACUCCAUGAAAGCGGAUCCUCUCAUAAAGGGAUUACCUCCCUAGGUCUUUCAUGAGCAUACUACACACGUUGGUGUGAUAUUUGGUUUUAUUGGGUGUUUUUAUGGUGCUUUAUGUCUUGUUUAAGAACAAGUAUGUUUUUCUGUACAUAAUUAAGAAUUCAGUUAUCUCCAUUAUUAGUUGCACUUAUUUGAAGUUUGAUCUCACUUCAAUCUAAAGAGGAACUCGUUGGAAAUCUAUUUAGAUUUCAAAAUCACACAUCAUGUUUAAUCUAUGUCGUUAGUUAUAUAUGUAUAUGUGAUCAUUGAUAGGUUUAGUUACCUAAAUUGUAACGAAGACCGCUUUGAUCCUAUACUAUUAUCAGGGCCGGCCCUUGGCAAGCUCACAAGGUGCAUAAGAACAGGGCCCCAAAAAGUCGGAGGGCCCAAUUUUUUUAGCAGCUAUGUUACCUAUGUUCAACCCAAAACAAAAAAUUAGGUUUAUAUUCUAUUUGCCGGCAUUUAUCAGUCCACGCAAGGAGCGGGAAAAAGCAAGAAAUUUCGGGAAACCCAAAAGAACGCUUCGGUUUCUUCAUCAGAUCUUUGCUUAGGCAUGUGGCAAGAAUUAAAUCUGCAAUGGUAUUGUUUGAUUCAUAUCAGUGAUUUUGGAGGGCAAUGAGGCAAUCAACAAUCUUCCUUCUUUCUUUUUUUCUUCACGAAAUUUUGAAACAAACUUACAACCUGUCUCAAAAAUCAGAAAAUCGUUCUUCACUUAUUUCUUUUCGAAAAUCAGAUCUUAUGCUUUGUGCCCUGUUACGAUUUUCAUUUAUAAUUUCUGGCUUUUUAUGUGUUCAUUGUAUGUUAUUAUGAUUUUGUUUCUAAUUUCUGGCUUUUCUUUUCUAAUUUUUGGCUCUUUAUUUAUCAUUUGUAUAUUGUUAUGAAUUCGUGUCUGAUUUAUGGAUAUCUUUUUUGAUAUCUUGUUUUUCUCAUCUGAUUUCUAACUUUUUAAUUAUGUUUAAGUAGUUACAUAAGCGAAUUUGAAGAUAAGUGUCAUGUUUUGAUUUUAUUUUAUUGGAUUAUAUCUUGUUCUUAUUUUUGGAUUUUUCUCUUGUUUUGUUUUGUGGCAUUUUAGUUAUGAAGAGGGAAAAGCUUCGAUAAGACACACUCACCUGAUGCCUUAGAUGUGGCUCCACAUGUAUUUCAACAUUUUAUUACAUUUUUAAUCUAUUGCAUUUUAGCAGUUGUUAUUCAGUUGUAUACCUAACGUUUUACAUAUUUGGUUACAUUAUUUAAGGAUGUUGAGGUCGAAGUUCCUUGAAGCAUGAUAUUGUUGAAGUUCUAAUUUGUACAAGAUAUUGGUUGUUUAAAGUUAAAUCUAUUUGUGUUCAUUUACUUGCUGAACAUUAGAAUAUAGUGUAUUAAUUUAUUUUGUAAGGAUGACAUUAUGAUUGUUGUUUUUUAUAUGAGGACAUUAUGUUUGUUGUUUUAUGUAUUUGCAAUAGAAAAUUAAAAUUUAUAAUUGUUUUGCUUAAAUUUUGAAAUAUUUCAAAUUUUAGGGCCUAUUUUUUUUGUUAUCGCACAAGGCCUUCAAAAUCUCAGGGCCGGCCCUGACUAUUAUGAUUAGUGGACGAAAUUCUUUAAAGGUACCAAUAUUAUGAUAACAUUCAUUAGAGCGCUUAAACAGUUAUACGUACAUUUAUAUAUUCGUGGUCUAGUGGGAGAUUGUUAGAUAAUUAUNAUAUAUGUGAUGUUAUCAUUAAAUCAAGUUAUUAUGGUAAGAGUAUAAAUUGUUGAUGGACCGAUUUAUAGAAUAUUCACUUAACUUGUGGGUCGAGUUCUCGAUUUGACUCAAGAUCCUCAAGAUCCCUUCCAUCUCUCACAUUAGGGUUUAUCUCCAUCUAUAAAUACAUGUGAUGAGGAGCAGAUCGACACACACAAAAAUACACAUGAAAAUUCGUUUAAGGAUUGCUGAGGGAUUUUAGAGAGAGCUCUUGAGAUCAACUGGAAAACCCAAACCUAGUUCUUCAUAUUCGAAGAUUAUAAUGAAAUCAAGUAUCUAAUCGUUCUUUCUUGAUUAAGCUUUCUUGUAAUCAGAUUCGAGCUUAAGAACCUUAUGCUUCCGCGUUUAUGUUUUAGUUAUCAAAACAUCCAACAAAUAAGUCUUAGCUCAUUCCUUACAAAAAUAUUCAUAUUUGAGCUUUUAUGCUCAUUGAUAUAGUAAUCAUAGUUAACAUACAGGGAAAUAUUUAAUAGACAAAUUAAAUAUCAUUCUACUUUUUAUUCCUACAAAUCCUCCUACCCAUUUAAAUGAUAACAUGCGUCACAUUAAUAUCUUAAAAUAUCACUAAAUUUCAUUAAAUGAGCAUUAAAUGUUACACAUGUCACAAUUUAAUUGGAUAGAAGAAUUUAUAGAAACAAAAAAAUAGGAGGAUAUUUAAUUUCUCUAUUUAAUAUGUAUCAAUAUUUUAGUCCAUGAUAUGGGUUAAAACUUCCAAAAAAUAAUUUGUUGGUAGGUUUCGAAAAUUUAGCUGAUAUCCUGUUUUUUUCGUUAAUUUGGUAAAAAUAUUUGGAUGUUUACGAGGAUUACUAUAUUUUUUAACAAAUAACCAAAAUAUUAUGAUUUUUUGAAGAUUAUCCUUGAAUUAGUAUAUAUUAUUGUUAACAAUUCAUUAAAGCGUAACAUAUAUUUUCUAUUAUAAUCAAAUGAAAUACAGUUUUUGCUAAUUUCAAUGAAUGAAAAUGUGGAUUAAGUACUUAUAUUGUUUGCUGACCACUUCAAACUUUUUACAUUUAUCUUAUGUAUCGUUAUGAGUAUCAUGUUAAUAUACACUAUGUGGGUGUUCAUCUGAUGUUGAUGUUCUUUUAAUGUUAUUUAACCUAACUACCAUCCGAUCUCCAUACAUUAGCAACCAUCACUUCCAUCGAGAGUUAAAAGUGAACAUUGAAUGCUAGUUUAAACUAAAACAAAUGAAAGGUGAGUAUUUAUUUAAAAUGUCAUUCAACGUUCACUCCUUAUCAUAAUGUGUGCUAGCUGAUGAUUUUUAUCAGGUAAGAUAUGGAGGUUGGAUGGUAGUUAGUUUAAAAAACAUAAAAUGAACACCAACAUCAGCGGGACACCCAUAAAAUGUAUCUCACCAUGACAACCACAAUGAUGCAUAAGAAGAAUGUAGAGAGUUUUAAAUUACCAUCAAACAAUAUGAAACUAUUUAGUCCAUCUUUCUACUUCUAGAAAUUAGCAACACAUGUAUUUCUUUUAUUUAUGAAAAAAAAAAAGUUGUAUUACAUUUACAAAUGAUUUGAUAAUAAUAAUAAUGUACAUUUGUUCAAUAGUGGUCUUAAGAAAAGUUUAAAUAUUUUGGUUGUUGGUUAAAACAAAGUAAUCAUUAGGAAAAGUUUCAAUAUUUUAACCAAAUUAACAAAAAAAGACGGGAUACCGGCUAAAUCUGCAAAACUGAUCAAAAAGGGUUUUCUGAAAUUUUAGCCAGCAUUAUGUGUUUUUCUGUUAAUGAAUUUUAAUCGAUCGNAUAUAUAUAUAUAUAUAUAUAUAUGAAAAAAUUCAAUAGAGAACAAUUAUUAAUCAAGAAAUCAAGGAACCAAUCCAAACCGUCGAAAUUUAAAACGAUCAACGGUAAAAUGAAGAGUUGUAGACUUUUACAAUUGACGUACAUCCACCGGAUCAUAACAAAACGUACUUCCUUUUUUUAGUUUAAUUUUUUUAGGUCAUGUUUUUUAUAAAAAAAAAAAAGCAAAUAUAUCAUUGUUCGUGAUUUUCAGUCAUCUUUCUAUAGAGAUCCAUAUUGAUAUAUAAAAAAUGAUUCUUUUUCAAAAAACUCACUUCAUUUUCUUUGUUUGUUGAAAAGUUAAGAUCUAUUUUUUAUAGAAAAAAAUUAAUAAAUAUAUCAAAAUUCAUAUUUUUUGGUACUCUUUAAACAUAGACUCAUAUUGAUGCUAAAAAAAAUCGAUAUUUCAAUUCAGAUUCACAUUGUGGACCUGUUCAAAAUCACAUUGCAAACCUGUUCAGAUUCACAUUGCAAAUAUGCUCAGAUUCACUGUGUGAAUAAUAGUAAGUCAGAUUCACAUUGCGAACCUGUUCAGGUUCACAUUGUGAAUCUGCUCAGAUUCACAGUGUGAAUAAUAGUAAAUUUCACUAACUUAAUUUGCGAAUGAUCGAAGAGUUGAAAUAGUAAGUUAAAUUCACAUUGUGAAUGUUACAAACUUAAAUAUUUACAGUUUAGAUUCACAGUGUGAAUAUGAACUGAUCAAACUUUUUCACAUUAUAAAUGUUAAAAAUUGAAAUAUUUACAGUUUAGAUUCACAGUGUUGUGAAUCUACACUGAUCGAGUUUUUUUUAAUCGGUGUUGAUGUUUAUUAAUAGAGUAUAAAAAAUUACUCCCUCCGUCCCAUAAUAAUUUUCCACUUUUGACUUUUGAAGUCUUUAUUCAUCAACUUUGACCUUAAAUAUUGUUAUUUGUGUUAUGUAUUACUCGUUGAAACUUAUAGCAAUGAAAAAACAUUUAAAAUACAAUCCAUUCAUAAAUUUUGCAUUAAGUUUUUUAUAUCAAGGACAAAAAUAUUUAAGGUCAAAGUUGAAGAAUAAAGACUUCAAAAGUCAAAAGUGGACAAUAAAUAAGGGACGGAGGUAGUAAUAUUUUUGGUAUAAUUAGUUUUUUUUUUUUGGAUAAAAAUAAAUUUAAAUAUUGAAAAAAAUAACAAAAUGAAGUGGGUUUUUUAGAAAAAAAAAAUCUUUUUUAUAUAUCAACAUAGAUCACUAUGGAAAGAGGACGAAAAAUCGUGAACAACGAAAAAUGUGGUGUGUUUUUUGGUAAGGGGGUGGAUUUUUUGAUAUAAUCUGGUGUGUGUGCGUCCAAUGUAGAAGUGUACAUCUAUUUCCUUAGCCGUUGAUCAUUAUGAUUUCGGACGCUCACAAUUAGUUCUUUGAUUCCUUGUUAAUUAUGGUUAUUUAUUGAACCUCAUCGUUAUGUUUAAAUUGUGAAAGAUAUUUUAUGAAAAAUCCACGAGCCUAAAAGGUUUGAUUUAGAUAACAAUAAGAUAAUNNNNNNNNNNNNNNNNNNNNNNNNNNNNNNNNNNNNNNNNNNNNNNNNNNNNNNNNNNNNNNNNNNNNNNNNNNNNCACACACACUACCCGUUUACCCGUGUCAAGCGACAUGUGCGAAUAAUUUUUUUUUUUUUAAAUUAGUUCUUAGAGACGAUUAGUUCUUUUACACAAAUAGAUUACUAUAUCUAAACAAUUACCAAUAAAAGUUAAUCGUACAACAAUUUUUUAUACGGCACAUUUGAGGUAUAAACUUCGUCCUCGUUGAACUUUUUCAGCAUUCACUAAUACCUUUGGAUUGACACGUAAUUUUCCUUUGGACAAUGCAACAUAAAGUUUCUCAUGCUUGAAAAUAGUUUUCAGUCGACUGAUUUUUCUUUAAGCAGACACUAAUUAAUUCCAUUUCGAUGAGUAGUUUCUUGUUAACGAAUAAUUUUCUAUAACUUUAUUUUGACGAACAAUGAUAGUUUCUUUAGAAACACGUGAGGUUACAAAGAACAAGAAAUGCAUCAACAUAUAUCUAAGUUUAUUUUGCGGGGAUUGUUUGAUGAAUAGUUUUAUUUAAGGUAAAUAGUUUUUUAUUUUACGUAAAUAGUUGUUUUUGAAAGAUGAUGAAUAGUUUUUUCAAUGAAUAGUCGUUUGUUAGUAUCGUUAAGAUUUUUGUAUUGAUUUAUAAUUAACCAAAAAUGACAAAGGAUAUUUGAGAUUACCAUUAGAAACCAACGUUUUAUUUUAUUUUAUUUUCAUAGCAUAAUCUGUCAUUUUUAGAAACAUUAUUGGGGUUUGAUUGGUUAAAUAAUACUUCCUCUCUUCCAAAAUUAUUGUCCACCUUACUAUUAUAGUUUGUCUCAAAAUUAUUGUCCACUACCAAAAGUAGAUAUAUACUUUUACCAUAUUACCCCUAACAUUUAAUAAAGUAAACUUGAAUAAUUACAAACACACAUUUUCCAUUGGUUUUAGAAAUGGGCAAGAGGGUCAUUUUACUCAAAAAGACAAAAGUAAUGAUUGUUUUUCUUAAUUUAUGUGUUUUUUGUCCGUGGACAAUAAUUUUGGGACGGAGGGAGUAACAAUUUUCACAAUCUAAUAUAGUGAUCGUUAACAAAGAAAAUUAUUGAUCAAUCAAAACAUCAAUUUACCAAAAUACCCAUGGUAUACUAAAAUGCUAUAAUAUCAUGAUAUAAUCAAUAUUGAUAUAUUGUUUAAAGUUUCAUGACCUAAUAAAAAAAGUUAAAUGACCAAUAUACAUAUAUUAAAACUAGAAAGGUGUACCCCCCUUCGCGGGGUGUUGGAAGGUGUCACUUUUGAAUGGUAGGCACACUAAAGUACAUUGCUAUUCUCUGCAAUUCGCCUGUACAUUUCUAUUUCUUAACCUGUACAUUGCUAUUUCUUAAUUUGAUAACUAUAAAUGAAAGAGGUUUUCAAAGAAUAUUGGUUCUAACAGUUUUGAUUUAAGAAAAUUUUGAAAGCUUGUACUUUAACAUGAAUAGCAUCCAGAAUUGGUUUCCAUUCCUCCACUUGUUCCCCUGUUCAUGUAAACUCCCAUCUUUUUUUUUUGUUUCUAAUGAUAGCUCUAUCAGGACUCAAUUGUUGAUGGUGAUGUACGUACUUCCUCGCUUGUCCCUCCAUCAAAACCCUGGAGGUUUCCAGGUUCAACCAUGAUCGAUCAAAAGAAAAUAGAAGUGACCCACUUCAAUUUCUGAAGUUAUUUUGCAUGAAUCCUCUGUAGGGCGACGAAAUCGUACCCCAAAACGAAGGAAUAGAUAAAAAUAAAGAGAAACAACAGAAGCGGGUAACCGGAAGGUCGGGAUCAGAAUUGCAGAAAGGAAUUACAGAAGAAGAGAAUUAAAGAAGAAGAAGAGAAUUAAAGAAGAGAGAAAGUCGGGUAACUGGACGGUUGCGUGAAGCAGAAGAACCAUCAACCUGGUGAAGAUGAUGGAAGGCGUUGUCGAUCCAUUCAUUGCCGACCUGCGGACAUCUUCUCCCACUUACCGAUAUUGAGCGGAAUCGGUGGAGGCCUCUUCUUUUCCCACUUACAUUGCGAGGUCAUAUGUAUUGUUUUUUUUUGGUCUAAGUCGUUAAAACAAUUUGUUACGAUAGUAUUUUUUAUAAAACACAUUGAAAGGUAAUAUAUACAAAUAAGCAAAAAAUAAAAAAAUAUAAUCAACUAUGUACUCAAUAGAAGAUUUGGGAUUCGGGAAGCUGAUUACACAUCAAAACAUUUUAUCAAAUUUGUAACAAAAUCAAUACCAAGUUUGAUUUGACAACAAUACUCAAUAGAAGAUUUGGGAUUCGGGAAGUUGAUUACACAUCAAAACAUUUUAUCAAAUUUGUAACAAAAUCAAUACCAAGUUUGAUUUGACAAAGUCAAAGUAAACAUUUUUUUUCUUGUCCCUGUGGUUGCAUCAGUCUUUCCAUUUCCAUGAUGGCAACAUCUACUUGCUCUGCUGCCACCUGCCAAGCAGCAGAAAUAAUAUAUUCAUGUGAAGACCAAAACGACAUAUGGUAUGUUGCUAUUUUUUUACCAAAUAAUAAAAUUGCAGCAUAUAAUUGGUUCCACGGUGGGUAACUUCAACCUUGAAUCUUGUCAUUGUUUUUUUGAUCUACUCAGCAUAAAAGAUGCAAAAUAAUAGUAAUAAUAAUAACACAUCAAUUAGUGUUGAAUCAUAUUAAAACAAUUUUUAAAAAAAGAAGCUAACCUUCAAUCGGUCUGCAUCAGAUAAAGGUCUUGCAGAAACAUGUCAAUUCAAAAGCUGUGUUAGAAAGUUGAUCACAGGCAAUGGCUCGAUGAACGCAGUAGAAAACAUAUAUGCAUCACAAACAUGUCAUAAAACAACAUCACGACAACAAAUUUCAAAGAACACCAAAAGAAAAGUUGCAAAUUUUUUAGUAAAUUACAAAAUUUUUCCCUGCACUUUCUGAAUUUUAUAAAGUUUUGCCCUUAUUAAAGAUUCUAUAGACUAAAAUCAAUGAGAAAAUAUUGACCAAACUCAGAGUUGUUGGAAAAAAUGAUUGGGUUAGUUCAUUAUAAUCCAAAAUAUAAGGCAUCCAUAAACAAAUGAAAGUAAGUACAUUGCUAUUUUAAACAUCCACAACAUUAAGAAAGCAGCUGAAAUUGUCCAUACCAACCAAUCCCUAAAUCACUGCAGACUGCUUAAUGUCAAUCCACCGGGUGUAGUUACAAUACGACACCAAUAACCCUACGAUUACAAUAUCCUAAUAAACGAACUCUAAAAGUACUCUAAACCAAUCAAUGAAAGUUCAUUGCUAACAUAUGCAUUUAAAUAUCCUGCAUGCCCUGUUCGUGAAGAUUGGCUAUUGAUGUUUUCUCCCCCAUUGCCUUGGUCAUCAAUCCGUGAGUAUCUACACAGAAAAAAAAAAGAAUUGGGUAUCAGAUGCAGGAAAAAAAAUCUAAUGAAAACCUAAAAAAUCAUAGAAGUUUCAUAUAUUGUUUCCUAAUUUAACCAUUUUCACCUCUUAUAUCAUGUUUUAAUAAUAAUUUGCCCUAAUGUGAAAAUUAACAAAUGAGGAAAGUAAAAAAGUUCACUUACUUCUUCUUCCCAAUUUUUUCUAUGUCCAGGAGAUGGUGGGACCCACAACUGUCCAUUCUCUAAAACCUUCAUUAAAUGUGAGUUAUCUUUUGAUGAACGCAAGAAUACAGAAGCUGACAUACUGCACACUCAUUCCUUUUGUAGUGAUGUUUGUGUUCUUAUUGAAAGUAAAACUUGCAAAGUUUGAAAGAUCUGUAAAAAAAAAUUAAGAUAAUUAAAACUCUUGUUUCCUUCAAAAUCAAUAAAGAAUCAAGAUUUGAUAGCUUCGGUGUAAGGGAUGUUUCAAUUGGUUUUAGAAAGUGAUUAUGUAAUAGUGAAUGAAAAUAAAGUAAUCAAGCCACAAAUAACAUCAUCGUUCCAAAGAUUACAUCCAAAGACCCAUCUAAAAGGGAAUCAUAAAUCAACUAUUCGUCGGAAUAGCUUCACGGCUUCUACGGAUUUUAAAUUAAAGUAAAUAUUAAAGGCAUCCGAGGCUUUCCAACAAUUGCAUCAACCUUGCAACAUGUAAGUAAAAUAGAUAAAUAUAUAAUAAUUGUUUAUUUGUUUCAAAAGAAGUGUUUUUUUUUUAACUAAAACUAUAAAUUUUAUGUAUUCACUUGUAAAUAGAAAAAAAUAAUAGAAGUUUACCAUCAACUUUUCAAUUAUGCCCCUGCCCCUUGAUCAAAUUAUUCGAAGACAAAUCAGAUCUGGUUGAAGAACAAAAUAAUAAGUAAUAUUUGAAAAAAAUUCAACAUUAAAAUGUCCCUAUAAUCAAAUUAUUCCAACGGUUUGAGAACCUGAAUCUUCAUAAUAUUUAGAGUGCCCUACAACAAAAAAGUCCCAAUAAGUAGCGAUAAACAGAAGAUACAAUAUGAGAGGUUGUCCAUUAACAAAACCGAUUUAAUAUUGUAAGUAUGUUGUUAUUAUCAAUAAACAUUAGAGCAUAGAGGUUAAGUACAUUGCUAUUUUUGCAAAAUAUAAAAAUAAAAAAAUAAAAGAAAUCAAAGGGCGAUUAGACAACCAACCGGUUAGAAACCGAAAGAUUUUGGUGUGUGUGUGUGAGAGAGGGAGACAGAGUGCUGAUGUGGAUACCUAUACCAUAAAGUGAUGAGACGAUUUGUAUGAUUCCCACUGUGAUCGUUUGAGAAUGAACUUUUUGUUCUUGCAGCUGGUAUUACUAUCACCCUGAUAAAAAAAAAUAUAACGAUAAAGCAUUGUAAGGGUAUUAGGGUAAUAAGGGUAGUUUAGUUAUGAUCAUCACAAAGUACAAGUUGAAGAGGCAUGAUUUGAAAUCAAAGCACACACUUGGCCAGUGUCCGUUCUCAUGAGAAACAUUGAACCCUUUAGCAAAUUACUAUAAUUUUUAAAAACAAACAGUUCAAUGGAUAUUUCGAUUUUUUUAAAAUACCAUUAGGCUAUUUACUAACAAUUCAGAUUUGGAUAAGAGAAACUUUAUAUAAAAAAACCUUAAUACUUGUGAAUCAUCGAAUGGCUUCAUCUUUCAGGUCCACUGUCUCAUUGUUCUUCCUCAUAAGGACCUGUAAAUGUACACAUACUUAAACACAACUGAUAAUUUGAAACAAAGGUCAUAAACAAAGCAAAAGUGGGAAAACUCGUUGACCCCAAAUAAGUAAAUAACUUCUAUAAAGCAACAAUUUAAAUAAAUUAAAAAGGAAUUUCAAUUAAUUAAGAAAAAGAAAAGGGGAAAGACAAAUUACAUUAAAUUCAGAUUCUAUGGCCUCGAUUUGUUGAUUCCAAAUGGCUGCAACAAAUUUUGUAGGCUUGGAUCUAUUAAACUGUCUAAACCAACAAACAACAACCAAAAACAUAAAACAAUCAUCAGAUAAAAAAUAAUCAAAGUACAACACCUGAUAUAUAGUAAAAAUGAUCAUAUUUCUAAAGAUUAAAAAUGACGUAACUACAAUAUUUUAUGUGAGAAUCAUGUUAUUUGAAGAGAAAUCGGCGCUUAUGGUUCGAAGUCAAACAAAAACCCUAAUCAACCGUCGAAUGACCUAUGCCUUUGAUGAAUCGUCUUCGUAGGUAUUUCUAUCGAUGCGAUCCUCUAACGUAAUACCAUCUACCCACCCGAAGCGGCGGUAAGGGGUGAUAGCGACCAGCGAAGCGGCAAAGAGAUGAAAAGGAAAUUUCUAGUAGCUGGAGAGAUGAGGCGGUGGAUGAAGAUCUAUCCGGAUGAAAACGGAAAAGGAUGAACAACAUGUGUGAUGGUUUUGAGGGGCGACGCAACUGGAAGUCGGAGGGUGUAAAGAAGAAUGACAGCAAUCAAAAUAUCAUUGGGCGAAAAAACGGUACAAAACACGUGUUGAUAUAUAAGCAGAGGAUCUAUUUUGCCAAAUGUAUAUAUAAAGAAGGACCAUUUUUGCUCCAUCCUUAGCAAAUUUACUGUAGCUAAGGAUUCCGUCCCAAAAUUAUUGUCCACAGACAAAAAAACACACAGAUUAAGAAAAUCAAUAAUUAGUUUUGCUUUUUUGAGUAAAAUGACUUCAUUGUCCUUUUUUAAAACCAAUGGGAAAUGUGUAUUUGUAAUUAUUAUAGUUUACUUUAUUAAAUGUUAAGGGCAACAUGGUAAAAAUGUAUAUCUAUUUUGGUAGUGGACAAUAAUUUUGGGACAAACUAAAAUAGUAAGGUGGACAAUUAUUUUGGGACGGAAAGAGUAUAAUAAGAGAUAAGAAUAUAGAAAGAAAUGGUCUAAAUAAAGACACACGUCAUUUGUAUACAUAAAUAAUAGUUUUUUGACAAUUUAAUUUACAUAUAUUCAUUAAGAUAAAGUAGUUACCGGAAAGUUGAUAACUAUCUAUUCUAAUAAACGAAUGUUUUUUUUAUUACAUGUCAUAUUCUCAUUCAAUUUGUCAAAUGUCAUUUCGUGGCUGUUUUGAAUUAAUUUUUUUCCACACAUCAUUUUAUGGGUUUUUCUAUUUUAAUAAAUUACACAUAAUACUUUAAUGUAAUAAUGACAAUAAAUAUAUUAAUAAACAAAUAUCAAUUUCAUUAAUGAACUUACAUUCUUAUUUCAAAAUUCUCAAAUUAAAGUUCAUUAUUUUAUUUUGUUUAUUUGUUUAAAUUUAAAAGAUAAAAAAAUCAAUUUUAAUAAUUUAUUACUUUUUUUCUUAUAAAUCCAAAGUUCUUAAAUAUUUAAACCUUUAUAUAUAUANAUCAAUUUAAAUAAUUAAUUAUUUUUCUUAUUUUCUUAUAAUUCCAAAGUUCUUAAAUAUUUAGACUUUUAUAUUUAAUUUUUUUAAUUAACCCAUGUAAUACAUGGAUCUUACACCUAGUUUGUUAUAUAAACCAAUAUUUGAUUCUAAAGUUUUUUUUAAUACAUUGUAUUAUAUAAAUAUACCAAACAUAUAACAUUUUAUCCUAAAUUCUCCUACAUUAUUUUAUGAUGUAAAAAUAAUAUAUUAUAUUUAAAUAUUAUAAUUAACAUGUGUAUUAAACUUUAAUUAAAAUGGGAAAGUAAUUUUGAUUGUAUAUACGCAUCAUUUUUUUUAGUUAAAUGUCAUGUUAAAUUUUAGUUUGAAGGUGGAACUUGACACAUCAUUUUAUUAUUAUUUUUAUUAUAUUUGGGAUUAUGCUAUAAGUACUUCAUUAACUAAUUUUACCUCUCCCCCCACCCAUCCUACAUCAAUCUAAUCAAUCUUUUACUUUUGAUUUGACAUCAUUUUUUUUGUUUUUAUCUUUUUUUGUUUUUAUCUUUUUUUGUUUUAUUAUCAUUAUUACUAUUAUUAUUAUUAUUGAUUUCGAUAACCAUUUAAAAUACGGACAACAUUUUAAAAUUCGGCCAACAUUAUAAAAUUUGAACGACUAUAUAAAAUGGAACAAAAGUAAAGUUUGUUUUUGAUCCGCUUACCAUGCAUAUGUAAUACCGAACCAAUUAAUAUAUCCAUGAUAAAUAAAGACAAACUUUGUUUUUGUUAUGUUUUAUAUAGUCGUUCGAAUUUUAUUAUGUCGUCCGAAUUUAUAAUGUCGUCAGAAUUUUAAAAUUUUAACCGAAUUUUAAAAUGUUGUCCGAAUUUUAUACGGUUAUCGAAAUUUAUAACAACAACAACAACAACAACAACAACAACAAUAAUAAUAAUAAUAAUAAAACAAAAAACAAAAUAAGAAAAAAAAACAACAAAAGACAAAAAAAAUCACAUAAGAAUGAUGGAAUUAAAAAAUGAGAUAAGGUAUUUAUAGCAUUAGCCAUUACAAAAGGGAACUGAUAUUUCCACUGUAAAUUUUAAUCCAUCCACUGAGAUUUAUUUGAAUUGCCCAUUAUACCAUUCUAUUAAAGUUUUUAGAUAUUACAGGGAAAAAGAUUCUAGGGCUAACGACGCUCCUUCCUUAUUUGAUCUUGCUUUCUCAUCGGCGCAAAUUCUUCAUCUCAUUCUCAAAAGGUAAGUGAUCCUCAUUAUCUAAUUAUGUUUAAACCAUGUGUAUGUGUAAGAAUUUUCAAUCUCUGAUUCUCAAACACCUUUCAUUGCUAUGUGAAUGAAUUGUCGAAGUUUAAAGUUUUGAUCGAUUGAACAUAUUGAUUCUCUGUGCGUAUGACUAUGAUUCUCUGUACAUGAGUAUGAAUUGUGAAAUUUUUUUAUUAUAUGAAUUGUCAAUUCUCUGAUUCUUUAAUUUGUCUGCAACAAGAGCUUGGUAGUCAUAAACUUAGUCUUCAAAAAAAUGGUGCAAGUCACCUUACGUUGUAAUAUUGAAGACUGGAAACUCCAAUAACAAUUGACAUCACAGGUUUGGGUGAAACUGUUUCAGUUGAUUACUCUUAGCCGAUGGAUAUAGAAGGCAAGAAACGAAUUAAUUCUUAACAGGAAAAUAUCUUCACCAGUACGUUCAUAUUUGAUAAUGUUGUAUCUUUGGUGCUUGCAUGGCUUAAACAUAGGGUAGGGGUGGGGGGAAGGAAAAGAUGGAAUAGUCGGUGUAUAUCUCCUUUCCAUUAAUUGUAAAUACUUGGUGCUUUUUUUUUCUUUGUCUUCGUACUAGCCUUUCUACUUUGCAAAGUUUAUAAAAUUCUUGCCGGUUCAAAAAAAACUAUUAUGCACAAGGAUGAUUUUAUCAUAAUCACUGUGCAGAAUUUGUUGGAUAUAGGUCUACACAUGAUAAAAAGCAAAUGAACUAUACAUGAAAAAAUAAAGAACAGAGGCUCAAAAUAUGGGACCAUUAUUUGAGUUUUUAGUUAUCUAUUUUAAUCUCAAACUAGUCCUACUAUGCUGAAAAUAAAAUGCAACAAAUAAACCCACGUACUCUUCCUAGACUGCUGCCACUAUUCCCUUAUUCUACACCAAACUGCCUCAGACUAUGACCAAUUCUUUUGCUCCAAGUUUAUAUUAAAAACAACUAGAUUAACCGAACAUAAUUCACCAAACCACUUUGAAAUUCAAGACUUAUAGCUUUGUGGAGGGAUGCAACAAAUUUACCAAUGACCAGUAUUUUUUGACACUCGCCUCCAUUUGAAGCUUGAAGCAGCGAAGGAAAAAGAUGCGCUGCUGGAGAUUGCAUCACAAAACCACGAUCUUGUAAUUUGGAAACAAUAUUUCAUGGGAUAUUUCUCUCUCUUCAAUAUCAUUUUCUUUAAAUGAAGGGCAUAUUUGUCAUUAUAUUAAUUUUUCAGUGGAAAAAGUAAAAGCCACAGUGGAAAAAUCAAUACCCCUCCAAAAGUUUUCGAUUAAUCACGUGAUACUGCUAACGAGUUAAGUGGCAUAAACUACGCAUAAGAGUGUCAACUUUUAUUUCAAAAGUCAACAAAAUCCGUCUAACCUUAUCCAUGUGAUGGGCAGAACAAAUUAGUUACACGCAUAAACCUACACUAAACGGACGAGGAAAUUAUUGUAUGUUUAAAUAAUAAUGGUUUUUUUUUUCGUGUUUAUUAUAUGAUAUAUUAACAAGAUGAUCCGGAAAAUUUCCCUUUCAAAUUCUAAAUGCUUCGCUGAAAUCGUAUAAAAAGAAUAUAUUAAUGUCAAGGUUUAUUUUAAGAGUCGUAUUUUUAGAGGUCACAUAUUUUUUUUUGAACAGUCAAGUUUAUUAUAAUUAACAAGAUGCUAGAUAAAAAUCAGUAUUACAAGGAAUUGAUAUAAAUGAUAGAGUUUUGCAAUCUAUCGACCCAAAGAAAGAACAAGUGAUAAACAAGUCUAUCGAUAAUACCGUAUUUUCUCGGCAUUCUAGAUCUAAAGAUCAACUCAUCUCGGAAAUUCCAUAUCAACCAUAGCAAAGUAAGAACCAUCGCAUUAAAACAUCAUUUAUGGUUGUUGCUCAUAGGGAUGAGCGUGGUCCACGAAUCUGACCAAAAUUCAAAUUCUACCAAAACCAAAUCAAUUUUUUUUACGAACUGUAGACUAUCGGAUAUGUAUAUCUAGUCUCUGAUUUGUUUCGGUUUUGGUCGGUGGUCAAUCCAAGAUUCAAUCUCACAUGUGUUUAACUUGAUUAAUGUGACAAAAUUAAUAGGUUGAAAAAGUUUGUUUAUUGGAUCUGAUUAUUAAUAAUAUUUUGAGAUUUAUUAAGUGUUUAUAUGGAUUGAAAGACUUAAAAAUUUUGAAUUUUAAACGUGUUGUGUGCUUCUCAAACCUCUAACUUUUAGAGGUGAUUUUAAUAUAUUCCAAAAAUAUCUAAAUAUUUGAUUUAAAAAUCAAGAGUAGAAACUACUUCCAUUGAUCAUAAACUAACAAAAGUCCAGAAGGAUUGGAAGUAAAGAUCGGAAGUGUUUGCAAAACUAAUUAUUCACAUAUAUAUUAUUGCUAAAAAAAAUAAAACUUCUAAAAAAAAAAUCAAAGAAUCAUAGAUGUCCAUAUAAGAAAAUGAGAAGUGUUCAUUUAAAAAUAUGGUACAAUAUCAAUUUAUUUUUCAAAUCAAGGGAUAUCUACUUAGGACUGAAUAUUUUGUCAAAAACGUCCAAGUCAAAAACCUAAAGUAAUGAAAUUCUUGACAUACACUAAAUAUCUUUGGCACCAAUCCUGAGUUUUCUUACUCAGUUAAUAAAUAUUAUAAUGAUAUUAUUUAUGGCAUAUAUGCCAAAAUAAAUGUCGACAACAAUUCGUUGGGAAAUGGAAAGUAUGAACUAUGAGGAAUAAAAAUUUAUUGGAGGUUUUGAGGUUUGACAGCGUAAACUCAUGUUGUUCAUGGCCUACUCCAACUCAAGUAUAGUGACCCAUUAUGGGCUACUUCAAUGGCCCAAAACAGGGGAUCACAAUGUGGAUAUAUUAUCAAAUUUUCAUAAUAGGGUAAUUUGAUUCAUAUUCAUCUAUACCAAAUAUUAUCAAAUAUUAUCAAUCUUGAACUCGUUUUGUUGAGAGAUGUCUCUCCCACAUUUUUUUCAGUUGCAAAAAACAGCAUUGACUUAUUAGUAAAAUUUUAUUACUUGACACCUGAACAAUCAAGAAAAUAAGAAUCACUCUACCCAAAAAGAUAAGUCGUUGUUCAUUUUGUGAUUCAUGCGUCGACCACUUAUUCAUCUCCUUGGUUGUGGAUGGAAUUGAAUUUGAUUCAAAUUUCAUUUUUCUUGUUUCAUGUUUCUACAAAUUCAAUGUUAUCGAAUUUAGUAUGCAAUAAUUAUUUUAUAUUAUCAUCAAGAAUAUGUAGUCACUAACGACUAUAAGAAUUUGGAUGACACACAAUUAAAGCAACAAUUCAAACAAUGAAGAUAUCAAAAUUUAAAAGGAGUUCGCAGUUUAAUUAAAAAACGAAACUAUAUCAAGGAAUAUCAUGUGUGUUACUGUUGUUUAUUUUUGAGAAAAUGAUAAAAUUAGCCAAAUACACUAAUCACCUUACAAAUUUAGCUAAAAAAUUGAAAUUGCAAAAAUAACCACUGAAUUCGCAGAUAGAAAAGCCCCAUCUGCGAUUUUGGCUUUCCAUCUGCGAAUGUACAAGUGCCUAAAGCACAUCUGUGCUUUAGGCACUUGUACAUUCGCAGAUGAAAUUUUUUUUUCAAUUUUUUUUGUGUAUAUAUAGUGUUUUAGCAGACUUAAAUCGCAGAUGGACACAGUCCAUCUGCGAUUUCCUCUCCAGUUCAUCUGCGAAAUAAUGUUUUUUUUUAAUUUUUUUUUUUAAUUUUGACUAUGAAAUCAAUUGGUUUGACUACGAAAUAACCUUACUAUAUAUAAACUUUUGUAGAAAAUUAUCAGUUUAGUUGGUAUUUCUUUUGGAAAUUUCUUUAAACUCUCUCUAAAAAAUGAUUGAAUAUCUGGUUUGUCUUGUAACCGGUGGGAAAUGGCAAGUAACCAAACACUCAAAUCUGGAAUACGUAUGUCCACAAGGAGGUAUUUCUGAAUUCACGUUCAUAUUUUAUGAGUAUAUUAGUUAUAGUGAAUUUGUAUAUCUGGUGAGAAGCAAAAUUGGUUUGUUAGACAAAUAUAGAAUUAGUCUUCGUUUCCAUCAUCCUGAAUUGAACUAUCAUAUAACUAUAGUUGAAGAUAUGUAUGUUAGAAUGUUGAUAAAUGUAAUCAAAUGUAGUGAAGGAAGGGCUGUGAAAGUGUUUGUGGUGGUUGAUGAAGGAGAUUUGGUUAAUGAGGCUGGUCAAUUUCAUAGUGUUGAUGAUGUUAAUGAGGUUGGUAAUCUAUGCAAUUAUAAAUGGAGCAACGAUCCGAUAAGUACUUUCAAUACUCCCAGUGUACCUCAAUUUCAUAGUGUUGCUGAAAAUGUUAAUGGUAGUUAUUCACCUAUUAACUAUGUGGACCUGAGAAUUNUACAAGUAUGUUGGUGAUGAUGAUGUUGGUACAUAUCUUAAUGACGUGGGUGGUCGUUGUUUUGAUGUUCCCGAACAAGAAGUUAAAGUUAUGAAUAGGCGUGUAGUAGAUAAAAGUAAAAAGAAAAAAAAAUAUGCGUCAAAAGAUGAAAAAAAGCAUGUUUAUGGGGAUUAUGUUGAUAUUGUUGAUGUAGGUUUAGAUAUAACCGAAUUAAAAAAACAAUUCAGAUGGAGAUGAGUUGGGUGAUGAAUUCAAAGUUAAGUUUCCCGAUAACCUUUUUUACGGUAUACCCCCUCUACCAGAAUGUCCAGUUGAUAUUAAUGAAGAUAUCCCAACACAGAUGGUAGACAUCAAUCUUCAAAAGAUUGAAUGUGAGAGUAUAUUUAAGAACAAAGAACUUUUAAAGCGGUGUAUUGGUAAAAAAUGUCUUCGAGAAGGUUUUCAGACGAGGAUAAGUAUAUCCACCAAAUCAAGGUAUGAGGUUGUAUGUGUUUCGAAAAAUUGUUCUUGGUUACUAAGACCGAAAGCAAUUAAAAAUUCUGAUGAACUUUUCCAAGUGAAUAAAUUUGUUGAUGUACACACAUGUUCUUCAACAAUUUUGCAACCUAAUCAUCGGCAAGCAAACAAAUAUGUUUUGGGUGAAUAUCUUGCUGAUGUUUUGGCUGAAGAUUAUAGUAGAGUUUAUCGGGGAAAAUAUAUUGUUAAUGAUAUGAAUGCUCAAUUGAAUAUCAAUAUCUCAUACCAUUAGACAUGGUGUGCGAAGCAAUAUGCAUUGUUGUCGUUAAGGGGUACGAAAGAGGAUUCUUUUACCAAACUUCCGGCUUAUUUCCACAACUUGGUCAAACAUAAUCCGGGUACGGUGACACAUAUUAAAACAGAUGGUGAUGAUCGCUUUGAGUUUUUGUACGUCGCACUUGGUUGUUCGGUUAGUAUUUAAAUAUUUUAUUAUUUUUUCCGUUUUUUUAGUGUAUUUGAAUAGAUAUAUACAAUGUAUUGUAGGUACGCGCUUUUGUCAAUUUCUAUAAACCGACCCUUGUAGUAGAUGGAGCCCACCUAAAGGGCGAGUUCAAAGGAACCAUGUUACUUGCAGUUACCAAGGACGGACAAAACCAAAUAUUACCGGUUGCAUAUGGUAUCUGCAAAAAUGAGUGUACAGAUUUUUAGACAUUGUUUUUUCAAAAACUACGUGAUUGCAUAGGCAAUAUGUAGGAGCUUACAAUUAUAUAUGAUAGGUCUCCAUCUAUAGCAACAUCCGUUGCCAACAUUUUUCCUCACGCUCAUCACGGAAUAUAUGGUGUCCAUUUGUAUUUCAACAUAGUAUCUAGAUUCGGGAAGAGUAACACAGUUAAAGGAAUUUUUUGGGAGGUUUGUAGGGCGUACACAGUUGAUGCUUUUAACGCUGCCAUGGAUGUUAUGAAAAAGACAAAAGAACGAGUAUGAGAGUACUUAAAAAGUAUAAAUCCAGAAACUUAGUCUAGGGCACAUUUUAGAGGGAACCGAUACAAUCUAAUGUCGUCCAACAGUGAAGAGUCUAUAAAUGCAUUAUCGAGACACGCACGUAAGGUGCUAAUACUUAUAUUGAUCGAUUUUUUUUUCGUGCAACAACAAUCCGUCCCCUUGUAAACGAGGGGCGGAACCAAAUACGGUAUCUCUAAAUAUAUCACGUCUGACACCAUCUAACACUUCAAAUACUUCCCAUAUAUUACACCCCGAUCUUUUUAAGUUUACAAUUGCUUUCACAUUGAAAUUAUUAUAAUCAUGUUGCACAAAACACAAUAACAUAUUAGAGAACUAAACAAAUAUUUCAUUUUAAAAUAUAUGAUUAUUAAGUGGAAUAAUAACAUAAACAAUAAUAACAAUGCAAAUACAAAUAUUUAAUAAAUAAUUUAUAUAUUUAUGCUAAAAAACAAUAUCAUAUUAUAACAGUUUUUCAACUUAAACGACAAAUAUAUAAACAAUUUUUCAAGUUAUACGACAAAUAUACAAACAAUUUUUAACUUUCAAAUUAUAUAAAAUAACAUUUUCUAACCAUAUAAACAAACAAUUUUUCAACUAAAACGACAACUAAAUUAACAAUUUUUCAAGUUAUUCGACAAAUAUACAAACAAUUUUUAACUUUCAAAUUAUAUAAAAUAACAUUUUCUAACCAUACUAUAAAAUCUUUUCUACUAAAACAACAAAUAUAUACAAAAUUUCAAGUUAUACGACAACUAUACAAACGACUAUUGUACACAUAUUAUAAAAUUUUCUAACCAUACUAUAAAAAAAUUUAUACUUCACCAACAAAUAUAUACAAAUCUUCAACUUAUACGACAAAUAUAUAUACAAACGACUAUUCUAUACAUACUGUAAACAUUAUUUUAACCAUUUUUCAAUUUAUAAAGACAAUUACACGAUAAGAAUAUACAAAUUUUCAAGUUAUACAACAACUAUACAAACGACAAAUAAUAUAUUCUAACCAUGCUAUAUCAAUUUAUCAAAUUAAACCACUAACCAAAACAUUAUGUAAACAUUAUUCUAACAAUUUAUUUAACUAAUAAAUUAAAAAAAUUAGCAUAUUCUAACCAUUUUACUAAAUGUACAACCACCCGAUGCACACUCUACACAGUCUCUACUUAUACAUUCAUACGACUACUAACAAAAUAGCAUUUAAACUUCAAGUUUACUAAUAACAAAUAUUAAAACUAUCAAAUACAACAAACUUACCCUAUCACAAACAAUAUAAUUUCAUUUUUUUACACUAACUAAUAAAAUAAAUAAUAAAAUAAUAAAGACAUAUACUAAAUAAAUGUUAAUUAAAACAUAAAAAGAGUUAAAAUCUAACCAUACUUGCGGGAUUAUUGAAAUAAUCCUCAAUUUUCUUCAAAAAAUCGUCAAAAGGAAUCCCCGAGAGAGAAAGUUUUUCUGUAUUGAAAAGUGAAAAAUGAAGAAAAAAAACGUUUUAUAGAGUUUUCAGUAGAAAAUCGCAGAUGAACAGUGCAAAUCGCAGAUGGAAAGCCAAAAUCGCAGAUGGGGCUUUUCCAUCUGCGAAUCCAGUGGUUAUUUUUGCAAUUUCGAUUUUUUUUUGCUAAAAUUGUAAGAUGAUUAGUGUAUUUGGCUAAUUUUGUCAUUUUCUCUUUAUUUUUCCCUGCUUUCCAGUUUAAUGGAUAUCAUUGUCAUGUAAAACACAAUUACCAAAGGGCUUGUAGCCCAGCGGUAUCAGGUGGUGUCCUCCCUCUUUUAGGUCGAGGGUUCAAGUCUCGUUGUGGACAUAGAUGGAAUAGGUGUUGUUAGCUUAGGAGUAGAUUAGAUUUGUCGGUUCAAAAAAAAAAUGUAAAACACAAUUAAUGAUGAAUAAAUCGAUUUGGACUGAUUCUUUUUUACCAAUGAAAUGGGUCAUAAAAAGUGAAAACUAAAACCGACAAUUCUAACCUUUGUUAAACAAUUUGAUUACAAAACCUCUGAUUUGGUGAAACGAAAUGUAGUCUGGUGGCAAAAGUUAUCCAAUGAUUUCAAUUUCUAUCUACAUAAUUCAAAAGACCAGAAAAUUGUAAUCAGCAAAUUACCAAAAAAAUUCAAUAAGUUAAAGGUUUAAUAGUUAUUAUAUGUGGUUGAAAGAAAGAAAAAUCGAUGAUAAAAAAACAAAAGUUUGCUCACCAAGACUAGGGAUCUCCAUAGGAGGUGGACGGCUCUUAUUUUUUGGUCCCACUUGUUCAGGUAUACUUGUGGGGACAAUGGCUACAUAAGUUUCUAUCUAGGGAUGGAAAUGGGGCGGGGUUGACCAUCCUUGUCCCCAUCUCCGAGUGUCUAACAUCGUCUCCAUCCUCAUCCCUAUCCCCGACGGAUGCGGGGAAUCAAAUUUCCUCCCCUUUGUAUUUUGGGCUUCUCCCCAACUGAUCCCCGACCCAUCCUCAAUCUAUCAACAUAAUAAACUCAACUUAAAAAAAAAUUAAUUAAUUAUCAAAACCAUAUCUCAUAAUUAGAUUCUGUUUAUAUCAAUCAUAAAAUUUUAACAAGCAUCAAAACCAAAAUCAACAAUUUGAUACACAGAUCGUCGAACAAAGUGACGAUUGAUAAACUCUUGGAUAUGGAAACAUAAUUUGGUAUAUAGACUCUAUCUCUGAUGGUCUAAUAUAGAUCAAAUCAUUUUAGUGGGCUUAAUUUAAAUUCAAUAAAUGAUCGAUAUACUAAGUGGGGGCGGGGCGGGUUGGGGAUUGUUNCAUCAAAGUGGGGGCGGGGCAGGUUGGGGAUUGUUAUACCCGGCCCCAUCCCCAUCCCCAGUUUUAGCAUAAUGGGAUCCCUAACUCCGUACCCGGUACCCGUUUUGACAGGGAAUACCUGUCCCCGAUUGGGGCGGGUUAACCGGGUUCCCCACCGGGUCGGUAAAAUUUCCAUCCCUAUUUCUAUCUAACAUGGUGAAAUUAUUUCAGCCAAAGUUGUUAAAAUCGUGAACUUAUUUAAGAUCCUUUUUUACUUUGCAAAAUCAUAAUCAUAAAAUCGAAUCGGGAUCGUAAGAUUAUAUACACACACACACACACUCACUAGACAUCUACCCGCACAAAGCAGUGGCGGCAAAUAGUUUCAUUCGACAAUUAGUUUCUUUCGAUAAUUAGUUCGAUUCGAUAAUAUGUUAUAUUUCAAGGAACACAAAAUCGAUACAUAAUGUUAUCAGUCGGUUUUACGGCAAAAAUAGUUUCCUUUCGUCAAAUAGUUUAUUUUGGCGAUUAUAUUCAUUUCAACGAUUAAUUUCUAUAAGGAAACACAUCACCUUCCAAAGAGCAUGCAAUGUAUCGAAAUGUGUUUUGCAUCCCACAAAGACCGGGCACAUUGUUAUGGUAUGCUCAUGAUUAUCCCAAAUAUCAGUUUGAGGUUUGCUAACUUUUUUUUAUUAAUAAUAUCAUUCUUGAAAUUAUAUCAAGUAUCCAACUAAACAUCAUUCAUGUAGCUACACUUAGUCCCACUAACUACUUCAUGAUUCGUAGGAUAACUCAUAGCAAUUCUUGUUGAAAGUUGUAUGAAUUUACCAUAAAAAACGUAAUUGAUAACCAUUGUAAAGAAGAUAAAAAAAUUUCUAUUUCUAUAAAGAAUAGCUAACCAUAAAUUUUGUAAAAGUAGCAUUAUCAAAUAAAACAAUUAUAAAUAUUGAUUCCUAUUGCUAUUAGUGUGAAUUGAGGCAAUCCCCAUUAAAAACAAUGGAUUUGUCGAGCCAAAUAAGAACAAUGGCAGUAUAUAUAGAAAAAGUUAAGUUUAGCAAUUGGAAUUCAAACCUAUCUCAAGGGCCAAAUUGUCAAAAUCAUGGAAAAUAUUUAUUACUCAACCGAAUUUAAGUUAUAGACAAACCACGAGCAACUCUAUAUAAUGUCCUCAAAUCCAAAUCAACAUCAAGGACAAACUCGUCCAGUUAAGGGAAAAUUUACAUUACUAAACCAAUUCAGCCAUAAUCAAAACAGUAACAUCAAAAAUUACAAGUAAGCAUCAACUGUACGUAAAUUUCCAAAACAAUUUUUUAUUUUUAAACCAUACUUUUAAUCAUCAAACAGUAUUAAAACAUAAAGUAUCCAAUGUCAUCAUCACAAAAACAAUUCCCAGAAUCUCAAACAUAAUCUCUAUGAGUGUGUACAGGUCAUGUCGGCGUUUUCCCGUGAUCCUCGCUAGUACCUGAAACACAUAACACAACAACUGUAGGCAUAAAUGCUUAGUGAGUUCCCCAAAAUACCGCAUACAACACAUACGCCUUUCCAGGCCAUAACUCUGUGGGACCUUCCGGUCCAAGUAUCUCAAGGGACUUCCGUCCCAAAUCCCGGUUGACCUUCCGGUCCUACCCGUAUUGACCUUCCGGUCCAUGUCCUCUUGACCUUCCGGUCCAUAUCAUCUUGACCUUCCGGUCCUUUUCAUACAUAACACAUACAUAUCACAUAUCAGCAUAUAUAACACAUAUAAGACCUUCUGGUCACACAUAAGUACCCUUCCAGGUACAGUAUAGUGAGAAGACUCACCUCAAUGAAGUCGAAUAACUCUCGUGCUCAACGUCCCGACCUAGCCUCCUCCUACCAUUCAAAUAACAUCCCCGGUGAAUACUCUCUCAUAGUCUCAUCUUUAAAGAUUGGGUAGAAGGUCAUUCUACCCCUUCCUGAACUCUCUUGAAUCAGUCUUGACCAGAACCCUAAGGUCAACGAAAUUCAAUGGUCAAACUUUGACCCGAAUCGUCGAGUACACAUGGGCGACCCGACGAGUCCAUGCGGGUCCUCUGAACCCUUCCAACCUCUCUUGUCUUGUCGAGUCAUCCUUCCACUCGACGGGUUCCUCCUGUCACGAAUCGCGGGGCAACCCCGACUCGACUCGUCGAGUCCACUUAUGAACUCGGCGAGUCGCUUCUAUGGCCACACUCAAAUGACCUUCUAAGGUCAGAUCUGCUUCUCUAAUCUAUAGAUUUAAUCUUCCCAAGCAUGAUAAUCAUGUAAAGGUCGAAUAUUGGUACACAUGCAACACACCCAAAGCUUCUUUUGGUGAAAUAACCUCUAAAAUGGCCUCCUAGGCUCAUAACUCAAAAGGUAUGGCAUAAAGCAAAGUGGUAAGGACUCUCUGGACCUCUUAAGGUCCAGAUCUAUGAACCAACUCGCUUUGGGACCUCACAUACUCCAGAUUCAACUAAAAGAAGCAUAAAGAAAACCCUAGAUUUCACUAGAAUCAUUAUGAACAUGAGAAUGACACAGAUUAUUACCUCCAACAUCUUCCUCUGACCAAAUAGAAAUGGAUCCAAGCUCCUCAACCCGCCUAGCUUGUUCUACCUCCUUCCUUCUUGCUAAAACACACAAGAAAUGGUGAAUUAGCCUUCUUCUUGCACCACAAAUGAUCUCUAUGCUCUCUAGGGUUUUCAGGGGAGUAAUGGCCGGAAAUGGAGGCCAUAAAGGCCUUUAAAUAGGGCACAGUCGCACAGACCCCGAGAAUUAGGGUUUCAUUCCACAAUGCGAACUCGUCGAGUCCACCUUGCCGACUCGUCGAGUCCGUUCAUUAAUCUAGUCAGCAAGUCGCGGUCCUACUCGACGAGUCCACGACUCGACUCGUCGAGUCCCUCUCUUUACUAAAAAAAAUUGAACAUAAUACUUGAAACUCCAGGUGUUAAAAUUCUCCCCCACUAGAAUCAGACUUCGCCCCCGAAGUCAUGAUCCGCAAACAACUCUGGAUGCUACUCCCGCAUCUCCAACUCCGGCUCCUAAGUCAGCUCGGACCCUUUCCGAUGUUGCCACUGGACCUGAACCAGGGACACCUCCUUGUUCCUCAAAACCUUGAUCUUCCAAUCCCGAAUCGUGAUUGGCCUCUCAACAUAAUUUAGGUUCGCAUCCACCUAAAUAUUCUCCAGCGGCACUACCGCCGACUCGUCGGCUAUACACUUCCUCAACUGAGACACGUGGAAGGUAUCAUGAAUCUGACUCAACUCCGUAGGUAGCUCCAACCGAUAUGCUACCAUGCCUACCCUCGCAGUCACCCUGAACGGCCCAAUAUACCGGGGCCCCAGCUUGCCCCUCUUCCUAAAACGAAUCACUCUUUUCUGUAACGCCCGCAAAUCUGGGCUAGUCAAAUUAGAGGCAAUAGGGGUCGAAAACGACUUUUUGACAAAAGAUUAUUUAGAAUAAANGGUCGAAAACGACUUUUCGACAAAAGAUUAUUUAGAAUAAAUAAUCUUAACCAAGUUGUAGAGUAUGUUACAAGGUUUUCGUACAUAUAAAGAACGCCGAAAACCGAGUUAUAACGAAGAAGUUAUGACCCGUUGAAGUUUCGCGACGGAACCGGCACGAUACCGGGAAGCGUAAAUAGUGAAUUUACGAUAGAGCGAGAUUUAGACUUAGUGAUCUAAACGAAAUUCGUAGAAUAUGUUAAACUAAGAACAUCGAUAAAAGGAACGCCCAAAUCUGACUUCGUAUGAGGAAGUUAUGAUUUUUCUAAGAUUUAGCAUAGCAGUGCACAGCCCGAAAUCUGAAUUUUAGAUCGGUCGAUUUUUAGCCGACGGGAUCUAAAUGAAAGUUGUAGUACUCGUAAAUACCAACGCGUGGAUAUAAAGAACGUCGAUAAUAGAGCUCGUAUGCAAAAGUUAUGGACGAAGCUUAGUCCCUACUUUUCGAGCGCGGCGAAUUCGAUACAGUUUUGUAAAUACGAGAUAAAAUGAGAAUUAGCCAACGAGGUCUAAAUGAGAGUUGAAGAUCUCAUUAAUAGGAACUCAACGGUAAAAAGACAGACAAAAAUGGAGCUCGUAUGCGAAAGUUAUGGACGAAGCUUAGUCCCUACUUUUCGAGCGCGGCGAAUUUGAUACAGUUUUGUAAAUCCGAGAUAGAAUGAGAAUUAGCCAACGAGGUCUAAAUGAAAGUUGAAGAUCUCAUUAAUAGGAACUCAACAGUAAAAAGACAGACAAAAACGGAGCUCGUAUGCAAAAGUUACGGACGAAGCUUGGAGACUACUUUACUAUACACUUCCUAUAAAUACAAGGGUGAACUCCUCAUAUUUUCUUCACACCAUAAGCCUUUCUUUCUCUCUCUAACUUCUCUCUAACCUCCCUAAACCCCUCCCAAGUCUAGGGAACCUCCCUAUCACGAGAAGAAAGCCCCGGAGCGCCCGACGGCUCCGAGAAGAAAAGCUUUCGGCUCGGAAACGCUGCUCCAGCGAAGCCCGGUUUUUAAUAAAAACCCGCUGUAAGUGAGCUACGCCUAUAGUAUAUUUAAUAUAGAUUUUAUUUAAUUAUAGUAACAUUGUUAGGACCUUAAAAUAAUUAUUUAGGCUAUUAUUAUGAGUUAUAUUGAGUGUUAUUUAACGCUUAUAUAAUAGUAAUAAUAGCUAGACUAUUAAAUUAGUCUCGUCAAGCGUUAGACUAAACUCUAGUGGUAAUGAUACUAGGUUUCGUCAAGGGAUAAUUGUUUUAAGAGUAACGAAGUGCUGUCCGAGUGCCGACUCACCACCUUUCAGGUGAGUGCAUAGUCCCUUUCAUCUUACACAUAGAUAUGAAGUAUUUUAUAUAAACUACGUGCUAUGUGUGCACAUUAUCUGAAUACUUGCUGUCUAUGCUGGUUGAACGUUUUAUACAUGUUUUAAAGGACUUAAACUGUAUACGUAUUUUAUAUAUACGAAAAUGUUGGGUAUGAGAUGGGUAGAUGAAUGAUGAGAGAUAGAAGAUGACGUGAGUAUACAUUGGCAGCUAUAGACUUAGUGCCUAUGGGACAAACACCGGUAGCUAUGGACUUAGUACCUUUUAGACGUUGGUAGCUAUGGAUUUAGUACCUGUUGGGAAUUGGUAGCUAUGGACUUAGUACCUAUUAGUUAGACGCUGGUAGCUAAGGAUUUAGUACCUGUAGGAAUUGGUAGCUAUGGACUUAGUACCUGUUGAACAUUGGUAGCUAUGGACUUAGUACCUAUUAGAUAAAGACUGGUAGCUAUGGAUUUAGUACCCGAUGAAUAGACUAUAGCAGCUAUGGAAUUAGUGCUUUAUGAACGAACAUUGGCAGCUAUGGAUUUAGUGCCAGUCCCAUAACCCUGGAAGUAAGGGACUUCGGAAUAAACGAAUGCAGGAUAGAUGACUCUUAGGUUAAAUCCUUAAAGAGUAAAGAAGAUAAUGGGGAUGGGUAAUUGGGUUGAUUGUUUGAUUGAACAUAAUAAUUAUAUUAUUGUGGGUUGAAAACCCUAUGUACUCACCAGGUUUCCCAACCUGACCCACUCAGUUUAUGUAUAUCACAGGUGACGAAGUGAAGUGACAUUACACUGAGAGAUUUAAAAGAGAUGUAGAUCACUAGUGUAAAUCAUUGUAAUUCUGUUUAUGCUUAUGUUUCGGUAUUAACGAUGACAUCCCAAACAUUUUAAAAUGAAAUAAAUACGUUUCUUCGAAAAUGUUUUAAUAACGUAUUUACCAUGUUUUUCUGGGAACAAAUUCCGCAACCUUUUUAUAAAAUGAAGUACUCUGAUUUUUAUAAAGCAUAAACAAAAUCGGUCUUUUCUGGCCGUGAUUUUGGGGAUGUCACAGUUGGUAUCAGAGCAUUAGUUUAAGCGAACUAGGAAUAUGGAUUUAUUUCUAGACUUAAACUUAGAAUGCUAAGCGAUGAUUGUGAGGUGUGAGCACUAGCUUAUUUUAGGAAUUGUGCCUAAAAUGCUUUUAUGUGCUAAAUGCUUUGUGCAUGAUAUGUUGUUAAUUGUUCGGAUCUAUGGUCUGUUGCCGACCGGAUCUGGAAACCUUAUGUGUUUAGGAUUCUAAACGUACGACUACGGUAUUAGAACUAGCAUGUAAAUGUUUCGGAGUGAUAAGGAUGAUUUAAACGUCAAGUAAAGGUCUAAAUUCACCUUAUUCGGUGUAUAGAUCGAGAUGGUAAGGACCCGUAGCGGAAACGUAAACGCAAAUGGGAACAGGAACCAACCCCCAGUGGUUCAGCAAAUACCUGUUGUAGAAGAAGUUGCGCCUGAGCCAGUCACCAUGGCUGGAGUUCAAGCCAUGAUUCGGGCUAUGUUGGCUGAACAAAGGGAAGAAAUGAGACGGAUGUUGAAUAGGGACGAACCUACUAUGCCCAUUGAGCAACCCGAACUGAUUCCCGAGCAAUCUGAGGAAGGGAACUACAGCCGCCAAGUGAGUCAAGUUGGGACUCAAGGUGAGCAAAGGGAUGGCCCAGAAGGGAGAAACAACAAGGAUGGGCGGAUGUACAAGAACUUCUUGGGUGCGAAACCACCAAGCCUCUCAGGAAGCCCAAAGCCGGUUGAGGUUAUGGAUUGGAUCUCUGAGAUGGAGAUGGUGUUUGAGAGCUGCAGCUGUAAUGAGAAACAGAAGACUGUCUUUGCAGUAAGACAGCUGAAAACUGGAGUCUUGAGCUGGUGGAAGCUAUUGGCAGAUACGAUGCCACGAGGAGAAGCCUUAAGGAUGUCGUGGGAAGAGUUUUUGGAACAGUUGAAAAUGCAGUACUGCUCGGAGGUAGAUCUGAUAGACCUAAACAACGAGUUUCAGAACCUGAAGAAAGGGAAGAUGAGUGUUGAUGAGUAUGCCACCGCAUUUACCGAGAGGAUGAAGCUAUUUCCCUACUUGGUGCCUACUGAACUCUCCAAGAUUGAUAGGUUUGCUAACGGACUGCCCACUGACUUUGGUCCAAUGGUCAAAAUGGCAACUACCUUAAAAGCAGCUAUUAGGGCAGCUAAGAACGUAGAGGCCCAGAUAAGAGAAAAGGGUCUAGAAAAAGAUAAGGCAGGAGAGAAGCGAAAGUUUGAGGGAUCUUCGAGGUCGAACAAGGAAAGCAAAUUCUCAAAACUCGGAGGAGCAGAUGGAGGUGAAACAAGAUGGUGUGAUAAAUGCAAGAAGAAGCAUGGUGGGAAGUGCAACGAAGAAGUGACUUGUUACAAGUGUGGGAGGACGGGUCACUAUUCCAAAGACUGCACACAUAAUGACAAAGUAUGCUACGGAUGUGGAGGCAAGGGGCACAUGUCCAGAGACUGCCCAAGGAAAAAUAAAGCAGCAAGACCAGAAACGCCACCAAGGCCAAGGGCAUUUCACAUGAUCCUCGACGAAGCAGAGAACCAUGCGAGGAAUCAAGAAUGAGGACUUCUUACCCGAAGAUCGGAUUAUGCAGUAGCCAUAGUUUCGUAUGAUGUAGCCUAGUAGAGGCAUAGUCUAGGGUGAACUUGAACACCUAUGUAAUCGUUUCAAGAAUUAAUAUAAAACCUUCGUUUUGUUAUCUGAUGUGUUGAAUGAUUGUGUGAUUUGCUGCAUGGUGACUUGGGAAACUGCGAGACAAUACUUGGGACGAGUAUGAGUAGGUGUGAAUGGUAGUAGAGGCCUAUACUACCGGAAGCACAGGACUCACACUUGGAUCAGGGAAAGUCACAAGGUUACCAAGAAGCUAGUAAUUGAUUUCGUUUUAUUCAAGUGUGUUGUUACCAUCGUUUCGGUAAUGACUAAGAAGAUUGUUGAUAUUCCGACCCUAGUGGUCAUAUCGAAUCGAGUCCGACUACGAUGAGUAUGUUGUGUGGUUCAGAGAACCAAGUUUGAUGUAGCGUCCGACUUAAACCAAACGGUUGAAAUCAAAGCGAUCAAUAGAAGUAUCGCACUCGUUGUUAAAGAAGUUGGUGGCUAGAAAUGCCUAAUGUUAAAGUGUGAUUAUAUCACAUUAGAACAUGAAGGAAGGCAUAGUCUGUUUUAGAAUUUAACUCUAAGAGACCUAAGUCUAAGUGUUGCAACAUACGAUGAUAGGUCAUUAGAAUAUGACACAUCGAUCUAUAGUAGUAAUAAAAGAACUUAUCUCAAGUCCGUAUCCAGCAAGGAUCGAGAUUGUGACUUGAAGGUCAUAAUUUGGAGUCUAACCUGAGGUGGAGAGCAGGUGCACGAUCGAGUACUCUUACAGUCAAUGAGUUUAAGAGAUAGAAUUGAAGGAAUGUAGAAGUUAUAAUUAUUUCCUAGGAUGAAGAGAUGACGUAUGGAGUCAUUAUACGACCAUGUUUCAUUGAUGAUUCCGGGACGUAAUCAUCCUAAGGGGGAGAUAAUUGUAACGCCCGCAAAUCUGGGCUAGUCAAAUUAGAGGCAAUAGGGGUCGAAAACGACUUUUUGACAAAAGAUUAUUUAGAAUAAAUAAUCUUAACCAAGUUGUAGAGUAUGUUACAAGGUUUUCGUACAUAUAAAGAACGCCGAAAACCGAGUUAUAACGAAGAAGUUAUGACCCGUUGAAGUUUCGCGACGGAACCGGCACGAUACCGGGAAGCGUAAAUAGUGAAUUUACGAUAGAGCGAGAUUUAGACUUAGUGAUCUAAACGAAAGUCGUAGAAUAUGUUAAACUAAGAACAUCGAUAAAAGGAACGCCCAAAUCUGACUUCGUAUGAGGAAGUUAUGAUUUUUCUAAGAUUUAGCAUAGCAGUGCACAGCCCGAAAUCUGAAUUUUAGAUCGGUCGAUUUUCAGCCGACGGGAUCUAAAUGAAAGUUUUAGUACUCGUAAAUACCAACGUGUGGAU
RNAcentral lists this long non-coding RNA (47375 nucleotides) under Lactuca sativa (garden lettuce). RNAcentral's name for it is "long non-coding RNA (LSAT_LNC005864)". The record is from RNAcentral. Lineage: Eukaryota; Viridiplantae; Streptophyta; Magnoliopsida; Asterales; Asteraceae.